AAGGUGCUGGCGGCGGAGGAGCCAAAGGUGCUGGCGGCGGAGGAGCCAAAGCUGGUGGUGGAGGAGGAGGGCGAGCGUCCUCGGGUGCGAGUUCUGGUGGAGCCAUGAAGGCCCCUGGAGGAUCAGGCGAUACAAUUUCCAGGGCGGCUUUCGAAAGCAACCCUCAGGGCUACUUUCAGGGCCUCCACUCUAGUAGCAAAUAGUAGUAGCUAGGUCCUUGACGCACGUACGUACGUACUAUGUAUGUGUAACAUAUAUGUAUAAAGAAGUACCAGUAUACGUCUGUAGUACCGGACUACUACUGGUACCGGUACGUCGUAUUCUAGCUUGGUUUUGUUAUACGGCGUUUGUAUGUGCACGUAGUUGUAUGAAAAUAAAAAGAGUACGUACCUCUGGACUGGUACAUGCUCUUGCUUUCUGUUCGUUUUUUGGCUGUCUUUCUCAUAGACAAGUCUUUGCAUACAAGAACUAUUUCGAAAGCGGAUAGCAGCUAGCUUAGAAAACCGAUUAGCACUUACUAGGGUUUGCACUUUGCAGAGGGACUCUUCCAGGAUGACAACAUGCAACAACAACAAUCAAGUCAACAACCGAUAUUUUCAUUUUUAUGUCAAUUUUUUUGUUUUUUCCCUCAGUCAAUGUGCAUUCAGAAGAAAAAGCUCAUACAUUGAAGUUGAAACGAAUUGACGAAACCCCAGAUGAAAGCUUCAUAGGUAAUAGGAAAAGCCGAGUAAAUCACAACGGUCCGCUAAUAAUCAUAGACUUGAAAUUCGCAUAAGUGCAUGCACUGUGGCUAUGCAUUAUAUCUGACCCUAUCAAUAUAUAAGCACCCUCCAAGAGCAGAAAGCUACAAUAUCAAUUGGGGUUAGUCAGCACUCAGCACAAAGCGCGAUCACUCUGUUAGAGCUAGGUACAAAUAUGGGUGCUGCCGCUGCUGCAUGUGUAGUUACUGGUGCCCUUGUUUUAGUACUUGUAGUGUGUGCAAUCUAUGGAGAUUCUGAAGUAGCUGUUCCAUCGGGCUCGUCUGCGGAUCAAACGAGAACAAAGAAGCCAUCGAGGAUGAGACUACAUGAUGAAUAAGCUAGCGGUUUGGAAUGGCUGCCAUGCGUUCAUAUAUUAAGUUAAUGUUCCCAGUCUCUCUGCUUUCUGCUAAUGCAACGCCUUAGCUUGGAUCCUAGAUUCCUAGUGUUAUUUUCAUUAAUUUUAAUGUCUUGUUUUCUCUAUCGUAUAUUCAUACGUGAAAAUGAUGAUAGUUGUUGCUGGGCUACAUGAAGUGCUUAUUUACAUCGUAUAUAUGCGUACGGCGUGCAAGCAAGUAAAAAAGAAACACAAAAUAUUUACAUCUCUAAACAAAACAAAAUGUUGGAAAUCUCUUAACUACGACUCGUCGAAUUUCCUGAACCAAUGCAUGGAUGCAACACCAGUCUAUUCAAUCAGGUCAGUUUGAUCUAAGCCGGCCACACGAGGAACUACAUAAACGACACGUCGAUAUUACUUAGAGACUUAACCAAGAAGAUAGCGAAGGGGAUAAGAACCAUGUACAGUAACAUGAUAAUUUUGACAGCUUACGUGUUUAUCAUCGAGGCGAGCCAAGACAGUUACACGAACAAGGUAAAUGGAAGGCCAAUAUAUUUCUGCAACGCGGUUUAUAUAAAGCGCUAGCUUUAGCCACACACAAAAAAAAAAAAAAAAAACAACUAGCUUUAUGCCUUUAUAUAAAGCACUGGCUUCUCCGAAACUCUAGCUUUGAUCCAACGCUAGCUACCAUUAAUAUAAAGCACCACCGUCCGAGUACAUAUCCUUCACCAGAUCUAAGUGAGUGAACUGUGAACCUGCAUUUGGAGUGCUUUAUUACAACAUGGGAGGUGUCUUGGGUACUGGUGGUGGUUGGGGCGGAGGAUGGGGUGGUGGUGGCGGAGGACAAACGUCCUCGGGUGCCAAUUCUGGUGGAACCAUGAAGGCCCCUGGAGGUUCAGGCGCUACAAUAUCCAGGGAGGUUUUCGAGAGCAACCCUAAGGGCUACUUUCAAGGCCUCCGCUCUGGUAGCAAACAGAAUAAGUAGGUCCUGGACGUGCGUACGUACUAUGUAUGUGUAACAUAUAUAUAAAUAAGUACCAGUAUAGGUCUGUAGUAGUACUGGACUACUGGUACCGGUACGUAGUACUGUAGCUUGCUUUUGUUAUAUGGCGUUUGUAUAAUUGUAUGUGUAUAUGUAUGAAAAUGGAAAGAGUACGUACCUCUGGACUGGUACGUGCUCAUGAGCUUGCUACCUUUGUUUUUCAUAAUUAGAUAAUUUGUUACUCUAACUAUUAAAUAUGUUAAUACACUACCUUUUUAUAAAAUUUAUUAAUUUAGGCUUUCAAGAUUAAUUAAUUUAUUUAUUAAAAUUUCAAUAUCGACUAACUUUAAUCUGAGCCAAAUCUUCUUCAUGUAAAAUCUACUUUAUUUAGAAUUUAGUAAUUCAUGUUUGGAUAAAAAAAAUUAACAAAAAUAUAACAAGUUGGCUAAUUUUAAAAGGGUGUUUCUAUUGUCACCCUACAAACCACUUUGUUCACCUCACGUUCUUUUCACACCCCGUUUAUAUAUUUUUAAUUAUAAGUCUAUUUUGUUCACCCAUUUACAGUACCUAAAAUACUCUUUUUCUAUUUUUGCUUUGUUCACCCUAAAUUCUUUUUUCACCUUACAUAUAUUUUUUUCAAUUUCAGAUUUGCUCUUUCACCCAACAUUCGAUCUCUUCUCAACCCGCCUAUAUAUUUUUUAAUUUUAAUUUUAAUUUACUUUAUUCACCGAUUUACAAUAUACACAAUAUCAGUCUAUUCCAAUAGCCAUUGAAUACCAAAAACAAAAUGAAAUUGAAGAAAACCAUAAGAUUAAUAUCAUUUGGCCGGGUAAGUCGAAUCACAAACUUAAUAAUAAAAAUCAUAUUAAAGUAUAAAUCUGAUCAAUUAAAGAACAAGAAAAAACUCUCAAACUUAACAACUCAUUAGUAUCUGUGGAUAUCAAAAUGCACAAUAUCUGUAAACUCUACUUUGAAAAAGCUCUGACGCCGAUGAAAAAAAAAUUCGAAUAUAUAUAAGUGAUCGAUUAGACAUGAAAAUUUACAUACAAAAUUGAUAUGAGAAAUAAUAAAUAAAGGGAUAGACGAAGCAUCAACAAAGAAAAUAUAUAUAUAUAUAUAUAAACAAUUCACCUCAUUUUUAGUUGAAUGCUAGCUAGUGUCUUCUUCACACUUCAUAGAAAGAUCGAAUAUGAUAAAUUCUGGGUAUAAGGUUUCUGAAAUACGUGUUUAUCUAAAAAUAAUAAUUUGUAAUUUGUAACAACUUAUUGUCCCUUGCUAUAAUUUUACAUUAGGGUAUAUUAGUCAUUCAAUAAAUCAACAACGUGUGGGGUGAACAAAUUGGUUUAUGGGGUGGCAAUAGACGCGCCCUUUUAAAAAUAUAAAGUAGUAAAUUAGUAUAACUAAUAGUUAGGGUAGCAAAUUAGCUAAUUAUGAAAAGUUAGGGUAGUAAAUUGACUGAAAUAAAAGUUCGAGUAGCAAAUUGAUAUAUAUUAAGGUGAAAGGUAGAGUAGUAAUUUGGUUAAAACCUCUUUUUUGUUUUUGUCUUUUUUUUCCUUUUUCUUUAUUUGAAACGGUUUUACCAUAAGUUGAAACGAAACCAUAUCAUGUAAUAGGAAAAGUCGAGUUGAGUAAAUCACAACGCUAGCGGCUAUUAACCAAGCGCAGAUUUGCAGACUUUAAAUUCCCUUUACUGGGAAUAUGCAUCAACUUUUACCCUAUCAAUACAUAAGCACCUCCAAUUAAGUACAACAACUACAGUAUCAAUCGGGGUUAGUCGAUCAGCACACUUCACCUUGAUAUAUAUUAGAUGCAAAAUAAUAAUAUGGAAGCUGCAGAGGUUGUUGCACUUGCAUUAGGCGCCAUUGGCGCCGUUGCACUGUUGGUGUGGGGUUUCUCCGGAGAUUCUGAAUCUGCUGCAUCUCAAGUACUUGUUUCAUCGGGGUCGUCUUCGGAGCCAAAGAGAACAAAGUAGGGCUGGGCACUUAGUACCGGAAUCCCAAUCCCGUACCGGUCCCGUCCCGAAAGUUAGCGGGACAGGACGAGAUAGGUUUUGAAAAUAGUAAUCCCGUCCCGUCCCGUCCCGUCCCGUUUUAACAUUACCAUAACGGGACGGGAUGGGACGGGACUAUCCCGAAAAAUCCCGUCUCGUCCCAUAAUAUUAGAAUACUUGAUUUUAUUCAUUUUAUACUUGAUUUUUGGGUUGCAUGGUGUUACAAUGCACUCAACCACACUUAAUUUGGUCUAAAAUAAUACUUUUAAUUUCAUUCAUGUUCUUUUUUUUGCUUGUGUGAUUUUGGAUAUUUUUAGUUGUUGUUUGAGGGUUAAUUUUUAAUGUGGGAUGUUUAGUACUUUUAAAGUGGGAUGUAAUUUAGCACCUAUGCACCUAUGUUCUUGUUGUAUUUUAGUACUUCUAAUUUCAUCAAUGUUUCUUUUUUUUUGUUAUGUGUUUUGGAUUAUUUUUUUNNNNNNNNNNNNNNNNNNNNUGCUUGGAGUUUCUCAACCCGUUUUUCCACCCGUGGUGGUGUUUGAUAAUCAAUUAAUUUGUUCUUGAAAAAAAAAAAAAUUUGUCGGGAUCGGGACGUACGGGACAGAUUUUUAAAAACACCUUCCCGUCCCGUCCCGUCCCGUUCUUUUAUUUUCGGGACGGGACGGGAUUCACCAAAUCCCGGCCCGUCCCGUCCCGUGCCCAGCCCUAGAACAAAGAAGCCACCCAGCAUUCGUGAGCUUGAGGGAAUCGUAAGCGCUUUGGGACGUCGUUGAUGCCAUGGAUGCAUAUCAAUAAGUUAAUAAUGUUCUUAAUUAAUGGUCUAUGUUUUCUGCUAAUGGAACCCCUUAUCUUGGAUCCUACUCGCAUUUUGUCUUGCUUUUCUUCGUUUUAAUAUCUUCUUUUCUCUACUAAGCAGUGGUACAUCCAUCAAUCAUAUACGUACACACAAUGAAAUUAAUUUAUAUAUGCAUUUAUUUAUAUCAUUACAAAUUAUAAGUUUGAUUCCAAGUCAUAAACUUGGAUCACGGAUCAGUCAAAUGGGAUUGGAACCCUAAACCACAAUCCGUACCCCAUCUCACUUUAUUUUUCAUUGUUAACAUAGUUGGUAAAGUUUGUACUUUUAUUUGAUUAGUCAUCACGGGAGCACUUCUGUUGCGGACAGUUGUGGACUCAAUACAGAUUUUCAAACUAGGCUGUUGGAUUGUACGUAUGAAUGGUUUAUAUUUUAAAAAAAAAUACAUGUCUUUAUCAUGUGACUGCAUCACACAACAAAUCUUUCUCACUCCUCUUUCUUUGUUUUCUGGAAUUCUGGGGAAAAUUAACAGAUUUUUCUCUUUCCUUAACAAUAUCCACUUCAAUCCCUCCUUCACUUAUGGGCUGCUAUUACAGUUUUCAGUGGGAUUUCAUUUCUUUCUUUAGUGGGAUUCAAUCCUUACCAAUAUCUACAAGACUAUAAUUGUUGAUAUUAUGCCAAAAACCAAAGCAAGAGGGAGAGCUGAUAUAUCUCGGACACAGGAGAGAGAGAGAGAGAGAUCUAGAGAGAGAGAGAGAGAGGUNNNNNNNNNNNNNNNNNNNNGAGAGAGAGAGAGAGGUGGUAUUGGGUAAGGUUAGUUUUAUUUUGUUUUCUAAAAUAUAGACCAUCCAUGUAAUUUGAUAGUUAAAAUCAAAAGUCCUUAACAAGUCCUCAAAUAAGAAGUCCUCAUUAGAAGGGCUCCUAGUCAUCACACACCGCUCACAGUUUUGAUUUGAUCAUUUCUUAUUUUCCUAUUCUCACUACGCAAUCACUCUGAUCAGUAGCUCUUGACAUCCACCACAUCUAUAACGGUCAUAAUUAAAGGGAGCUUUUAUUCAUAUGCUCAUACCUCUAAAAACUUUACUUGAACCUCCUUGCUUAAUGGACCUCCAAUUUACUUUUACAAAUAAAUAAAAUGUUAUUUACACCUCUCCAAUUUUCUCAAAACGCCCAUAGUUCAAUAAAAUCAAUAAAAAUCUCUUUCUUUUAAAAGAUUCUCUUCAUACCUCCAUGUUUGGUAGUUAGACCUAGCCUCCUUCGAUUUUUAGGCAUCUGACAAUCAUAUUUUGCUUUCAAAAUCCAUCCAAUUGGUUCAAACCUAUUAUUAGCUAUAUCGAGCCGAGCUUGUUUGAUCAGACACAAUAAUAAUUAGCAAAUAAACAACUCUCCAAUAAGUUCCUGAAGCUCAUAAUUGAUAUUACAACAAAUGCGUUCAAACGAAAAUCAAAAAUACAUUGACAAAGAGAGGCUAAGAAACAAAAAAAAUAUGUCUAUAAAUUGCAUCAUCUUUCAAAAUGUCAUGCAUAUUGCAUAAUGUUUCAAGUUUUUCGUAAAAUCUUACUUAAUCAUCGAUUGUGAAUGAUUCUUGAUUUAAAUUUAUCUUUUCAACUUUUAUUGAUGUGGUUGACAAAGUCAAUACUAACUUAAAAAAAAACUCAAGUAGCACUUUUGGAGAUAUAAUUAGAAGCUUCCAUAUUUAAAUUGUCAGCUAGAUAAAACAAAAAAACAACUUCCUAAUUUAUCCCUUUCAUAGAAGACCAGGUCUAGGGUUUUGCAACUUUCCUAUGAUCUUUCUUCUAUAUAUUUUGUAUUCUCGAAGGAUAUUUUUUAUUUGGUUAGAUUUUAUAGAUAAAAUCAUAAACAUUAUCGGGUUAUCAUCCAUUAAUUUUUUUUUUUGACAAAGGACGAGAAAUCAAUUUUAUUGAUCACAACUUAAGAGUAUGAACAACAACAUGAACACGAUCCGCCCGCAGGGGCUACGUGAAAAUUGAAUCAUGCAAAAUUACCUAGUAGACCUACCUAGUAGCUAGACACUACGCAAUCUCUAUGUUGAGACCAUGGGAUGAAGCUCUAUGAUCAAAUAAUAACGUCUUGGCAGCAAAAGAACCUAACCAUCCACCAAGACUCAAGUAGGAAGGGACAAAUCCGCAGCCCAUCAUUAUUGACCACUUCCAGGACCACCCUACGCAGAGGGGGCAACCCCAGAGCAUCAAGUAAUCCUAAUUAAAAGAAAAAGCCCAAAACUAAGGAAUGCUCUAGACCCGCAAGUAGUCCUGGUUUAAGAUAAUUAAAAACAAAAAUAACAAAAACAGAAAUUGAGCCAGCCCAAUAACAGAAUUCAGUCCAAACUUCUAAAAGUAUGGCCCAAGCUCGAACCCUAGGGACAUGAAGAUCAAGGCAUCAACCAACCCAGACCAACCUUGCCGCCACCGUCGCCGGAAAACCAACCAUUGCACUCUCGCUCCUCUUUAGCCGAGACACCGCCAUCACGUUUUCAUUAGACCCUUCACAGAUCAAAGACACCAAGGUCACAAACACACAGCCAUCGUGCCAACAUAGAUCGGCAACCCGAUCCGAGCCAACUCGUGUAUUCGCGGUUGGAGCACUCCAAUUCGCCGUCAGACCAACAAAACCACAACCCGCCAUCACCUUUGACGCCAAACCAACCCACCACCACUCCCACGACUCCGAAGCAGCCUUGCCAACUCAAAAGACCCAACCACCAAUGUCAACCACCUUGAUGUCACUCUCCCUCAUCGUCGAUCUUACCAUACGAGACCAGAACACAAGCUCGAAGGGUUAUCAGAUUCCUUCUGGGGCGACAACGACAUCGGACGCACCGCCGGACGGAGAAGGAAGACUUUUUGAAAACCCUAUCCAUUAAUUUGUUGAAUUUUUUUAUUUUACUGUUGCCCAAGCUAACAACCAUAUAUGGUUAGUGAGUAGGAAAUCAGCAUAGACUUCAUUUGCAUCAUGAGAUGUAUGGAUAUAUAUAUAUAUAUAUAUAUAUAUAUAUAUAUAUAUAUAUAUAUAUAUAUUGCUAUAAAGUGGCAGAGAAUGAGGUUUAGUCCCCACUCCCCAGUGUCCUCCUAAGUCCUAACUAAGGGGGGUCAUGUCCUAUAAGGCUUCAUUGUUUCAUGGAAAGUAAGCAUCAGGAAAUGAAAGUUGUUCAUUUCCAGUGUUUGGGAAAGCACAAGGAAAGGAAACACUUUCUUGAUUCAUGGGAAAAUAUGGGGAAAGUGGUUCCCUCCAAAAUCCUAAUGAACCACUUUCCUUUCUUCUUUCCCAUUUGUUGAUACCUAAAAAAUCAAUAUUUAUGCUCAAUGGAUAUUCUAAGCUCAAUAAAGAAAUACACAUGCAAAUCACAUUCGAAAUACAAAAGUUACAUAUUUAUUCGAAUAUUUAUGCCAUGCAUGUGGAUCUAAGCCACAACUACGCUCUUAUAGCUUACAAGUUUGGGUGUGGUGUGGAAGGUAACGGAAGUACAUGAGGCUUAUUCUCGGUUUUGGUUAUUGGUGAUUUUGGACUUAGGACCGAAAUCCAUGCCCAACAAUCUAAACCGUUUAAUGGACUUGCAAAUAUGAGAUAAUCCAAACCCAUAUGCUUAACCUAAUCACCUACCUUAACCCUAAUGCAAUAAUCUUUCUACCCGAUCAAACAAGCAGUAUUUUCUUUAAACCCCGUAGUAAGUCUAAUCCUCUUCUUCUACACUAAGCACAAGUCCCCAUCAGCCUUUUCUUUUACUCUGUUCUAAGCUCUAGCCUCCACAAGCUAUUCAAAUAGACACAUCUAUCAACACACAACAACAGCUUUCCUUAAAAUAUGUUGCUCCAAUUCCAACUUCACACAUAACAACUUGUGGUCCUACGGUGUUUUGUAUAAUUGAACUCAACAUGAUACAUCUCUUUGAUUGUCCAGCAGACUUGCCUCAUUCACCUGUGUAUUAGCCUCACCCCUUCCAGCCUAUAAAUUAAGGCCUUAAACACAACACAACUCUCACGCAGCAGAACACAUACCUACAACCCAAUGCAUCCCACAAGCAAGCCUCAAGCAUCAUGCCAAACAUCCUUCACUCCAAAAACCAGCUUCACCUUUAAACAGUCUCAAACUCAUCCGCCACCACCAAAACCUUUUUCCCUCCUCACCGUAGCAAGUCUCUCAUCUUCUGUAAUUCAUGUGCUUCUAGCUCCCACGCCACUUGCCAUCUUGCAAGCCUUUUUUAUGUACUUUGUUCAUCUAUCAUGCAAUCAAAAUCACAUCACGUUCAUGCCUCUAGAUCACAAGCAACAUAUCACUGCAGCAGGCUAUCAUCCCCGUAACAAGCCAAUAUUACUGCAGGGGAGAUCUUAGGGAAAACACGCACAAAGCUCUUUGAAGCUUUAGGCCUAGUUCUUGAACUCAGAAGGGGUAGAAAGAGGAAAUCAAGUCAUUCAAGCAAAUCUAGCAACCUCUAUUCAAAAUGACCCCAACACCUGCAUUUAUUACUCAUAACACAAUAUUUUAUUAUAUUAAAUCUCAACUCUUUAACAACUUUCCAAUAGAUUUUCCUGGUGUUACCAAAUAUCGGAAUGGAAAGUUUUUGUAAAAUUUCAUUCUCGUUCCCUUUCUCUUCCUAUAGGAAAGAGGAAUGAACCACUUUCCAUGAACCAAACGAGGCCUAAAUAUAAUACUUAGGUUGGGUUUUAGGUCAUGUGUUAGUACCAUGUGCCUUACACAUUGAACUACUAGGGUACAACAUCUAAAGAAGAUCAUGCACGACCAUAAAUCAAGGACCCCAUGUUGUCGCUUAAAGCAAUAAUGUAACACCCUGACCCGGGUGUUAGAAGAAUAAACGAAUAAAAUAAAAAAAGAAAUCCUAAAUCGAAAAUGAGAUAGGAUCUCAUAAUCAAACAAAGAAAAUGUUUGUUGCGUUUGGAACCUAAAUUUUGUUUUGUUUAUUUGCGGCUGCACCCGAAACUUGAUCAGGCUGCCUACGUACCCUUUUAAAGGGAUCAAGCCACUCGUAGUUCAACAUUUUAAUCUACUUCUCUACCUUCAUUAACAACAUCACAUUUACCACCAUAAGUCCAAAAUUAAAACCCUGCUUACGGACUCCUAAGAACCAUUUCAUGAUACACACCAAUUUAAAAUAUUUUCUUCUAUACCCAUUAAAUCAAAUCAACCCGGCCAUACAAAGCAUCAUGCAUCAACAAAUCUAUACCAAUUUAUUAUCAUUCUAAUAUAAAGUUCCAGGAGAAUAAUUAUACUCAUCAACUUAACCAAACCCCACACUUAACUCGCAAAACAACCUACUCAAGUGCCAAAGAGUGUGUAUAAGUACGCACACAUACUUAUAUACAUAUAAAUAUAUAUACAUAUAAAUAUAUAUAUAUAUAUACCCCAUCAAAAUUUCCGUUAGAAUAAUAUAAAACUCAACUUAUGCAAAUCAUCAACAUUCAUUCUUUCACCUUGAACCCAAGUUUACUAAACAUUCUAACUAGAUUUACUAUGGACACCCAUUAGAUAUACUAUGGACACCCAUUUCAACUAAAACCAAUCCCAAAUCCAUACAUAACACUCCAAUAUCCACUUCAAUGCAUAAGCACAAUCCAACAACUGUCUAACAGUAAUAUUCAUAUACCCGGUUAUCAAUUUUAACCGUUAAUAUCGCUAGUCUUCGGAAAAUCCGAAACCUAACCUACAUUACUCCAAAAAUUGCUAACUUUCCACCAAUGGGCUUCUCUCAUUUUUAACAAUUUAAUAAGCAUGAAAAACUGCCCAAAAAGUGGCAACACCGCCGCCCGCUCCGCCGGCGGCGGCGGCCAAUCUCCGGCCACCCCCAAUCGUCACCAAAAUUUGACAGAACCUUCCUCUCAACAUUUCGAACAACUUUCAUGAACAACACUAAGCUCAAUUCUAGCUCUAAAUAGUUCAUUUAAUCAAGAACAAUAAAACCCGAUUUGGGGCUAAAAACCCUAAAAUUUCGAAAUCUCAAAUUCUCCUCACACACACCAUGAAUCGAGUUACAAGCUUCUAGAGGAAUGUUAUACUAAUCAAACCCAACCUAAUCAUAUAAAGAACUCACCGAUUGGUGGCCUAAGGAGGGAGAAAUCCGGCUAAAACAGCGACGAACAGUCGUACCUUCUCGCCGUGAUUUCUCCCAAAAAGCGGCGAGAGGGACGCUAUCACCACUCUAGAUCGAUAGGUCUCCUCCUUAGCUUCCUGCCGAUACCCGGAUCGCCGCCCAAUUCGGCCUGACGGCGGCGCACGAAGCGGAGAACAGUGGCGGGAGAGAGAGGAUCGCUCGGGAGGAGAGAGAGAGGUGCGGUAAGUUUCUGAUUUUUCUACCUCCCACCUUCGGUAAGUUUCUCUUUUUAUACCCUUUACCAAAACAGUAACCUCCCGUUUUUAGACCAUAACUUUCUCAUACGAACUCCGAUUUGAGCGUGCCACGUGUCCACGAACUCGUAUUAACGUUCUCUACGACUUCCAUAAAGAAAGUUUUCCCAAAUUAUCGACUUAACAAAAAGUAAACUUUUUUGGUCCUUUACGGUAAAACAGUUACAAGAAACAAUAAUUGAAAAUUUACUAUAAACUUCAUAAAUUCACAGAGCAUAGCUCGUCGCUCCGGAAAAUAAUCCGGGCAUACCGGUGAGCUCGUAUAAACGUGUACCACGACUUCGGAGUUUUAAAUCCACUAUUUAUCGUUUUCAGAAAAACUCGAAAACAACUCGAGCAAUCACUAUUUAAAUCUCUGAGCGCUAAUAAAGAAAAAUCUGUGGUAACUCAUAACCCCGAACAGUAACCUUUUUGGUACGGGGUAUUACAAAUAAUAAUAAGAAACUUCUUCCAUGCAGCGCUCCAUUGCCCAAGCAGAUUGUAAUUGUAUCUGUUCCUGUUCCGACGUAGUCGUACUAGAACUUGAGUUGUUGGAGCUUCCAUGUUCUUGUUCUUCUGAGAAUGGGUUAUGAAAGCCGUCACCAAAAUUACUCUCACCAUCUUGAGUGGGGAGCCGCCUCAAAAUCUCUUCCAUCAUUCUGUGCAAAUUCUCAUUGGACCGCUUCAACUCAUCUAUCUCACCACGUUGAUGAACAUCAUCAACAUGAGCUGAACGCCUACGAGUUCCACGCCCUCAUACCAUGAUGGCUAUUAAUAGAACGCACCCUCCAAGAACCGGCUUUGACAGCAGAUUGCCCGCUCUGAUACCACUUGAUGCAGGUGUAUACAGAGAGGAGGAGGGGGGGGGGGGUUUGGAUCCGGGAAUCACUCAACCAGGAAAGAGGGGUUUUUUUUUGGAAUCACUCACCAAAGAAAACAGAGAAUAUACUCUGAAGCAAACUUUCAAUAACAUUAAUCUGCCCAACAAGGCCAAUGUUACAAGAUAUAUAUAUACACACACACAUAGAGGAUGUGAAGCGGACGUCCGCACUCGGUUUAAAGUGCGGACGUCGUCCGUUCUCCGCCGUCUCACGCCAGCGACGACUUCUCUCCUUCCCGGACGACAGCACAGACUUCCAGGACGGCUUCUCUCCUUCCAGGACUGGCCGGCGACAAGUUUUCCGGCCAACCUUGAUCAAUCAUGGUGUUUUCCGUCCAGCGCUUCAGUCCUGGAAUAAGAGAAACCGUCCUAGAAGCCUGUGCUGUCAUCCGAGAAGGAGAGAAGCCGUCGCCGGCGUGAGACGGCGGAGAACAGACGACGUCCGCACUUUAAGCCAGAGUGUGGACGUCCGUUUCACAUCCUCUCUGUAUAUAUAUACAUAUAUAUAUACACAGGCUGGUUCCAAAGUGCACGGCCGUGCUUUUACAAAACUGUGCACGAAUCUUUUUCAGCCGUUCAUUGUUUUAAAUGACAAGCAACGGCUAAGAUGAAAAGUCUCUCUUAAAACCCAAAGUGGGUCAAAUAUAUAGCAUUGCCCGACUGCUCGACUCUUCAGUCUCUCUCUCUCUCUCUCUCUCUCUCAACGAUCUCGUCUCACACUUCUCCAGCCAAAAUCGUGAAAUUCCAAUUCAUGUCUUCUCGAUCUCGCCUCUGGUUUCACGAUUGGUGACAAGCCUAACUUUCUCUUUUCCUUUCUCUCACAGAAAUUGAAGUACUCGAUCAUAUGAUAUAUAUCAAUGAUGGAGCUUUGGCCCUAAAAUUGGAGAUCUGGGGAAGCACGAAAACUCAUCUAGAGUUACUCAAGUAUGGGUUCUCUCUGUUUUGAUAUACUUGAUUUCUAAUUACAAAACAUAGGGUUGUUUUUGUUCUUUUUAUAAAAGAUGUUGUAAUUGGGAAUUUUUUUUCCUUUCAUUUCUACUGGUGAUAGAGAGAAGAAGGAAACGAGGAGGAAGAAAGAAAAGAAAGAAGGGAACAACGGAAGGGAAAGAAAAAGGGGAAGAAAGAAAGGAAGUUGAGUAGGGAGCAGAAAAUUUGGGAAAUCAAAGAAGAUUGGGAGUUUGGCAGAUUCUUUCUUGUUUCAGUUUUAUUGUGGUCUUGAUAGUUUGAGGUGAGUGGCUAUUCUCCUUACAAUUUAUGUGGUUAUGAUUCUCCUUGUUUAGUCUACCUUGCUAAAUUAAGAUCGAUGAUGGUGAGAUUCAAUUGUGAGGGACUCCUUUGUUUUACAACUACACUUGUUUUUGUUAUUUGCUUUAUUGUGGCUCUGUCAAAAGUUAUGAUUCUGUACAUAAUUUGGUUAUGUGUUACUGUUUACUUUUUGAUAGAUGAAUGAGAUGUGGAUUUUGUGUGUUUGUGUUGUGAUCAGGUCAAUACCUAUUACUUGGAGCUAAUUUGAGAGUUUUCUAUCUUCAUCUGAAUUGGUGUUUAUGAUUUCACGUUUUGUUGUGUUUACUUUGAUUGAUAUAUAACAGGGUCUUCUUAGUGUGAGAUUUCAUAUUUAUUUAAGAGUCUCCAAUUGCUUAGCGGAUUAGUAUUUAUGUUCUGGUUUUCUCUUAUUGUUGCAGCUAGCAUUGUUAGCAUAUACAAUCUGGGCACUCUUCUUGUCUCAUAGCUAAAAGGAAAUGAAGCUUGUCUCGACAGUUUAUUACUUUGCAAAUCAAUUUGACGCAGAGACAUAUUCAUAGUUCGAUAACAGAUUGUGGAAAGGAAUGUAAUUUGUAGAUGAAUGUUGUAUUAUUAACCCAUCAGAGAUUACAUGAAUUUUGUCAAUUGUUCCCUAUCUAUUGAAUUCAGUUUCAUCAUCUUUUUGGUGUUUCUUGUUGGUGUUUCAUUACAGAGAAACUGAUUGAAUCCUUCUAGUUUCAGUUAUGCAUAGCAGUAACAUAUGUACCACUGGAGACUUCAAUUGCGUAUACCAAUAACAUAAGUUGGAAUAAUACUGAGAAUGUGGAUCAUGCUCAGGGAUUUAUGUCAAUUUGGUUGGAGUUGGGAAUAAUACUGAGAAUGUGGAUCAUGCUCAGGGAUUUAUGUCAAUUUGGUUGGAGUUGGGUAUAUGAGUUGCACACUUGUUCAAAGGCAUUGUCUAUGCAAUACUUCAUUUAUUUUUGACUUUGUGCAAUACCUAUGAACUUCAAAACUGGCAGCAGUAUAUGCAUACGCCAAAAUGACAGUGCAAUACCUUUGUAUCCACCAAAACUGGCAGCAGUAAAUGACAGCAACUACUGUAAUACACCAACAUUGUUUCUUUAAAGGACAGUAAAAUGACCAGUAGUAUAUGCAUACAGCAAAAUGACAGCAACGCCAAAAUGUUCAUACACCAAAACUGGCAGCAGUAAAUGACAGCAACUACUGUAAUACAUUAACAUUGUUUCUUUAAGGACAAUAAAAUGACCAGCAGUAUAUGCAUACAACAAAAUGAUAGCAACACCAAAAUCACAGCAAAAUGACAUAUACACCAAAAUGACAGCAACACCAAAAUCACCGCAAAAUGACAGCAAUGCCAAAAUGUUCAUACACCAAAAUCACAUAUCAUCAUUGUUUCUCUUUAAUGAGUACAGACCUAUAAAUAAGGCCAACCAAAAUUCAUUGUUUCUGAGAUCUAUUCAAGGCAUACAAAAAUUAUGUGCAUCUGCAGUCACAAAAUGAGAGAUAUUCUGCAAAAUCUGCUACUUUGUACAGAGUGAGGUUCAUUCACAUAGAACAUUGUCAAAUGAUCUCCUUAUACAUUAUUCUACAAAAUAAAACAAGCAAUAGGCUGAUAAGUCAGUUCUUAUCAAGUUAAAUAAAAUGUUGAUUAGUUUUAACAAUAAAACAGCAACCAAUUAAAUAGAAUAGUGUAUUAUCAAGCUUGUAAUGAAUUCACCUGUAAAUGAACAACUAUCCUCAUCAAUGCUACUUGAACUUAAAUCCCAAUCUUUACUAAUAGCAGGUCUACAUAAAUGAGCAAGAAUAUAGAGAUAUGUAUCAAUCAAAAAAUUCUGAAAACAUAAACAGUAAUACCAAACACAAUUUAUUAUAGAUUCUUACUUUCCUAGAAGUGUUGGACAAUUUCUUUUGUCAUGUGACUGACCAUAUAGUCCGCAUCCAUGGCAUUUUUUACCUUGACUAUCCUUUGCCUUAACUUUCCUCUUCUCUCUUCCUUUCUUCAACCUUCUCCCACACCCUUUUUCUCUAACUUGAUCUGGUUCAUUAAAAACAUGCUGAAUAGUAACAGUCUCGGUCUCUAAAACUACUGUGCUCUGUCCACUUUCAUUACCAAUAUUUAGUGAUUUAAAAUUCUCCAAGAAAGCAUCCAACGAAUCCAUUAGGAGUUGGCUAGCCUCAUCACUAACGAUUGCCUUAUCAAUUGCAUCUGUAGCAUGCUGGAACAAUUUAGUCCUCCUUGCAAGUAAAGUUUCGGUAUCUGUUAUCUCUCCUCCAUCAGAAUCUAACACAAGACUCUGCCUUGCUUUCUUAGUCCAUCUCUUCAAGAUGUACUGAAUAGGCAAUUUAUCAACAUCUUGAAUCUUAAUCAAAUAUGACAAAACAUGUCGACAUGGAAGCCCUUCACUCUCCCACUUUCUACAGCUACAUGAUACAAAAUCAGAAUCUUUUUCAUAAGUGAGUUCACGAGACUUGCAAGUAUCAAUGUUCUUUCUCACUGCUUUGCACACACAAGGAGUCUCAUUUUCUCUUAGAAGUUCUAAUUUAUAUUUGAAGCUCUCUUUCAACUGUUCUUGAACUUCAUAAAAUAACUUGUGUGUGUAAACCUUGGCCAUAUGAUCUUCUAUUUCAAGGGACAUGACAGUUUUUGCCUUCUCUUCAAUAUUAAUAUGAUCCUCCUCUAACUCAUAGUGGCGUUGGUGAAGAAGUCCCCUCUUAAACUGAACCAUAAAUUCCACCAAAGAAUUCGACUGAGAAACAUAAUUCUUGAAGAAAGAAUGCUGACUCUUUGCUCUUUGACUACUUGACAUUCCAGCUGAGAAACAAUGAUUAUUUACAUGUGCUAGUAUCCAUGAUGAACGAAUCUCGUAUAUCGACUCCAACCACUUGUUAUCACUCAAUCCACUCUUCUCAACAAUUUCAGUCCAUCUCGAGUCAAACUCAUCUCCACUAUUUGAAUUCCAUAUGCAGCUAUGAAAGUCUUGGUAGUAAUUUCGAUAUUUAACCGCAUCUAGCUUCUCUGAAAAUUUAUUGAGAAUGUGCCAACUGCAAUAUCUAUGAAAUGUCUGUGGAAGUGCUUCUGAAAUGGCUUUAGUCAUAGCAGGAUCUUGGUCGGUAAUGAUCAUUGUGGGGGCAUUUUCCGAGGCAUUUCCAGGCAUAGCAUUUAGAAAUUCUUUGAAUAACCAAACAAAAGAAUCUGCUGUCUCGUCAUUCAAAAAUGCACAAGCAAAUAUGAUAGUCUGUCCAUGAUUAUUAACACCAGUGAAUGGUGCAAAAAUCAUUCCAUACCGAUUUGUGUUGUAUGUAGUAUCAAAAAUAACUACAUCCCCAUAAAAGCUGUAAGCUCGUCUUGAGAUUGAGUCAGCCCAAAAACAUCGUGUUACUUUGUUUUCCUCAUCUGAUUCCAUUCUAAAGACAAAAGAAGAUUCUUUUUCUUUUUCGUUUUGGAAAUGCAUGUACAAUAGAUCUCCAUCAUGCCCCUUCUUCUCUUGACGAAUAUUUCUUCCAUAAUUAUAAAGAUCACAUUGUGUACAACCAAUGUUUUCAAUGCCACCUGCUUGAACACCAAAGAAUUCGAACUGUUUAUGUUUCUUCACAUUUACCAAGCUUAAUUGCUCAGAUAGAACUUUGUUGACUUUUGAAAUACGACGAUGAGACUUCAGUAAAUAUACCCUAGAUGGGCUUGUUAAUGCGUGGUUGUGCCUUCAACAAAUACAGAGAUUGCAUAUCUUCCAGUUUUCUUUCUCACAGCUGCAAUCCUUGCUUUACAACCCACUUUUGGUAAUCCUCACUUACGUUUUUCUCCCUAAACCUUAGAAUCUCCUUCCUUAUAACAGACAUACUGCUUCCUCAUAACAGACAUACUGCUUCCUCAAAUACAAAGAUUGCAUAUCUUCCAGUUUUCUUUCUCACAGCUACAAUCCUUGCUUUACAACCCACUUUUGGUAAUCCUUACUUACGUUUUUCUCCCUAAACCUUGGAAUCUCCUUCCUUAUAACAGACAUACUGUUUUCUCAUAAGUGUAGUAUUAUCCUUGCUCAUUGCACUAGUAUGACUUCUAAUACUAAACUCUGCUUUUUUUGCAUAUCUAUUGUAGAAAGCAACAACGUCAUCCAUUGUUUCAAACUCUUGUUUUAAUUUAGGAACCACCUCAAACUUCACUUGAGGAAUAUAAACUUGAUCAUCAUUUGACUCCAUAUAUGUAACCGAAACUGAAAACCACACAUACACCGAACAUUCUUUUGUCAGUCAGCAAUCCCAAUGAAUUGAAAAGACAAAAUUCAACCAAUGUUAAUCAAUUGAAAAUACUAAAGAAUUUGGUGAAUGUUUUUCAUCGCCACCAGCUAGAUAUAUAUGAGAAUCAAAUCAUAACUUCAACAAAGAAACAAAAAUAGAAAUCUAGAAACAAUAACAAGAAAAGCCCCAAAUAUGAUAAACCCUAAAUUUUGUAAUUGGAAAAUCAAACAUACCAGAAAAGAGAGAACCCAGACCGAUCUAUAUACGUUUAUAUGUUUUCAAAGCUCCACCUUUUGGAGCGAAAACUCCAAGGCUAGCUUUUUGUACCACAAGAUUGCAAUAUAUAAUAGAGAAAGGAAGAAAAAGAAAGCUUUGAUUGCAAGAACUGUGCAACUGAGGAGAGUUUGAUCAUCAAUGGCGAGAAGACAUGAAUCGGAAGACAACGAUUAUGGUUGGAGAAGAGAUCGUUGAGAGAGAGAGAGGGAGACUGAAGAGUCGGGCAGUGUAUUCCUUGCUAUUUGACCCGCUUUGGGUUUUAAGAGAGAAUUUUCAUCUUAGUCGUUGCUUUUCAUUUAAAACAAUAAACGGCUGAAAAAGAUUCGUGCGCAGUUUUGUAAAAGCACGGACGUGCACUUUGGAACCAUCCUCUGUAUAUAUAUAUAGGACUAAUUUCAGUUUACCCCAUCAAUUUUAGGUCGAUCAUUAUGUUAGUUUUUCUUCUUUCACUUUCAUCAAAAACACCCUUUAACUCCCAAUUUUCGUCAGCCGCGUAUGUCCAAAUCUCCAAUCUCUAUCUAAUUCCUCUGUCAAGUGAUGAUUUGAUAUCAAGAAGAAAGUCAAAUUCUAAAAGUUACCUUUCGGACCAUUUUUCCCCCAUAUCGAUACACAUCUUCGUUCCCAUCACAACCCCCUAACCUUAGUGAUUUUAGUAGGAUUGAAUGCAAUUUGUCUAUUUUUUCUUUUUCUUUUUUCUUGAUAUCAAGUCAUCACUUGACAGAGGAAUUGGAUGGAGAUUGGAGGUUUGGACAUGCGCGGCUAAUGAAAAUUGAGAGUUGAGAGGUGUUUUUAAUGAAAUCGAAAGAAGAAUGACUAACAUGAUAAUCAACCUAAGUUAAUGGGGUAAACUGAAAUUAGUUCAUAUAUAUAUAUAUAUAUUGGAAUUCAAAUUUCAAUAGGACUCUCACUAUGACCUGACUUAACAACUUUCUAUACGCAUGACUAGACCAGCAAUUAAAUUACUUUGCACUUCCAAUGGAUAUUAAUUAUAUUGAGAUAGACUCUUAAAUGAUCAUCAACUAGCCACUAGCUUUAUAAAGCACCAGCUUUAUAUAAAGCACUAGCUUCUCCAAAGCUGUAGUUUUGAUCCAACGCUAUUAAGCUACCAUUAAUAUAAAAUGCCACCGUCCGAGUAAAUAUCCUUCACCAGAUCAAUAGCAUUCGCUUUGAAAGAAAAUAGGAAGAAAUGGGAGGUAAUGAAAGCAGGGAAAGCUCUAAACAGGAAGGAGGAGGUGAAAAUGCUGCUGCAUCGUCCGGUGACGUCGACUCUGGGUUGACAAAAGGAGCAGUCGCCGCUGGCGCUAUCGCCGGACUCGCCGCUGUGGCUUUGGGCGUAGCUAAAAUACUUUCGGAUUCGUCAUCAUCAGGAGGGGAGAGAAAAACCAUGAAAGCGCCCGGACAAGAUAACCAGAGGAUUGACAGGGACGAGUUUGAGCGUGACCCUGCUGACUAUUUCAAAAACUUGCGCAAGUCGAAGAAAUAGUACGUAGUAGAUCACUAGCUCAUGCUUCUUCUUUGUUCAUGCAAACCCUAUUCAGCUUCAUGCAUUAUCCUAGCUUAUCUGUGUUCUAGCUUGUACCUGAAAUCUUUAUGCUUUAUCUAUGUUAUUGUGAUUAAUUAGAGUCUAUGAUUGCCUUGUCGUGUUGGAUCUAUUCCUGUUUAUGCAGAGUCCGUAUCUUUCGUUUUAACUUCCAGUCUUCGAUCACUAAGAAUGCAAAAUGAAGAUGUUUCAUAAUCAACAUUCAGUUAGGUAAAAAUAACACGUACAUUCUUUACUGGAUCGGAUGAAGUGACAAUGUAUAAGAAUGGAACCUGACUUGGUUUAGAGUCUUGAGAGUGAAACAAGGUCGAGUGAUCGAUUGCUGACUAAAUCAUCAAGGAGAGUAAAGUGACGGGAAGGCCGGCAUACCUCUUCGUCCUCUACUGCAUGCUGCCGUUCAUUAUCAUCACCAUCAUCAUCGUCUUCAACAAAUCUGAGUCUCUCAAUUCAAAUGGUGCUCAUGAGUUUCACAAAGUUGGAAAAUAUUCAAUUGUCUCGCAGCAAUGGAUCUGGAGAAUACUUAAGAGAAAGAGACGAAAGAGAGAAUGGACGAAUAGAUCUAAAGAACGAGACCAAGAGUGAAAAAAUGAGAGAGACCGUGUUAACUUGAAAACCCAAAAAUCUCACAAUAGUACUAGCCAAGGAGGGUUAGGAGGCUGAGAGCAAAAAACAUGUGUUAAGUGGUACCCUUUAUUUUUGUACUCCCCCUUACCAAACACAGAUCAAACCACUUAAUACCUCUUAUCUAGUACAAUACCCUUUAGUCCCAAAUACCAAACAUACAAUUGGGGUACAACAUCUAAAGAAGAUCAUGCAUGAUCAUAGUCAAGGACCACAUGUUGUCUCAGCAAUAAUAAUAGGCACCGAUGGGCAAUAAUAAUGCAUGUCUUAAACGACGGAAGUUGUAGCGGAGCAACGUAGCAUUUUCUAAAACAUCAACACGUACGUGUUUGGUUGUUAGUGGCUGGUCGUAUAUGUGAGGUGGUACGUUUGCCGUACGUAAGAACUUCUCCGUUGAUAUGUACUCCGACGGUGGUGCUUUAUAUAAAGCACUAGCUUUGAUCCAAAAAAUAAAAAAUUUGAUCCAACGCUUUAUAUAAAGCACUAGCUUUAGAAACCACUAGUUUUAUAUAAAGCACUAGCUUCUCCAAAGCUCUAGUUUUGAUCCAACGCUACCAUUAAUAUAAAGCACCAAAGGUCUACCACCCUCCGAGCACAUAUCUUUCACCAAAUCAAUAGCAUUCGCUUUGAAAGAAAAUAGGAAGAAAUGGGAGCUAGUGAAAGCAGGGAAAGCUCUCGACAGGAAGGAGGUGAAAAUACUGGCGCUAUCGUCGCACUGGCCGCUGCCGCUAUCGCCGGACUCGCCGCUGUGGUUUUGGUCGUAGCCCGACUUCUUUCGGAUUCAUCAGGAGGGGAGAAAAAAACCAUGAAAGCGCCCGGACGAAAUAACCAGAGGAUUAAAAGGGACGACUUUGAGCGUGACCCUGCUUCCUAUUUCAAAAGCUUGCGCAAGUAGAAGGACCAGUAGUAGAUCACUAGUUCAUGCUUCUUCUUUGUUCAUGCAAACCCUAUUCAGCUUCAUGCAUCCUAGCUUAUCUGUGUUCUUGUACCAGUAAUCUUUAUGCUUUAUCUAUGUUAUUGUGAUUAAUUAGAGUCUAUGAUUGCCUUGUCGUACUGGAUUUAUACCUGUUAUUUAUGCAGAGUCCGUAUAUUUCGUUUUAACUUCAGUCUUCGAUCACUAAGAAUGCAAAAUGAAGAUGUUUCAUAAUCAACAUUCAAUUGGGUAAAAAUAACACGUACAUUCUUUACUGGAUUGGAUGAAGUGACAAUGUAUAAGAAUGGCCUUCCAUAUUGAAGAGAGAACUCGAGUCCAUCACAAUUGACGAUAUCCCUGCUUCCAUGACAACGUUCUUGAUAGCAAAUACAGUUUGCUAGUGACCUAGUGUGUUCCAUCCGCAUCGAAAUCGGUGAAUCAGACAUCGCUCAAUUCAGAUGUUUCAUCCAAAAUGUCAUGCUUCCAUCUCUAUGGUUAUGAUCAUGGGAUGUGGUCCGGUGUAAAAAUUGUGACAUGAUUGUACAGCUUGAUCGUGAAGUCCACAAAAUGUGAAUAAUUUAUAGAGUUUUAUUGAUGCAUCUCAGAUUCUCAGUACAAGGAAUACAUGUAUUAAUAAAUUAAAAUCCUGACAAAAAUUGGCUUCAUCUGCUUCUCUUUCUCUGGCCAAGACCAUAUCCUUAACUAUUGAAUAGAUAUCCGUAUGAGUGAGACUGAGCUCAAAACGCAACAAUAAAGAUCAGAUUACUGGUAUUGCGUUUGUAUGAACCUUGAUUCCUUGAAUGAGAACCACAGGUGAUGCGCAAACAACAUAACAAGAGUUGAGCUGAUCAUCUUCUUCUCCUCCCCUUGCCUUUUCCUAAUUGCCCAGAUUUCAUAGCAUGUUCUUGCUCUUGAAGGAAAAGUCUUGCUUUUCCAUAUUUCUCAGCUCUCUCUUGUUCCAUCAAAGCCUUAUCCCUCGACUUCACCUCCUGCAAGAAAUAAUUAUCUUUACGCAGUUCACGGACAGCACCUUUAGCUUCUUGUGUCAAACGCUUCUUCAACUUCUUUCUCUCAACCCGUUCACGGUCUGGAUCGUAGUCUCUGCCCUUGACAAAGCUGCAGGGAACAACAUACCAUCCAAUGGUUAGCCUAGCCAUUCAGAUACAUAUAGUAAGACACUAGAGGGAACAGGGAUUAAAAUAAAUUACUUCUCCUCAAAUUUUGGAUUGAGCAUUUUGAUAGCCACUGGCUUUUGCUUCCGCAUCUGAAGUGGUUGCCGCCGCAAGCAGUGUUUAUCUGCUUUUGUCUUGAUCAGUUGAGCAACCUCUUUAAAUUUAUCAGUUAAUGCACUUGGCAUAUUUUCUUGUUCCGACAAUUCAAGAACCAAUGUUGAAAUCGGCAAAAAGAUUUCGGGGAAAGAACUGAAUCCUUCGUAGAUAUUGACAUAUCCACGUAGAGUUUCAAUUACAGUCACCAGCACACUAGACCUGAAAAUUGUAAAUUUGACAUAAAGAUAUAACAAACAAACUUAAAAAGUAUAACAGACAACAAAUGGCAUAUGAAAAUUCAAAGUAAUAAUAACGAAACCAAUUUAUAUGCAAAAAUUUACAGAAUUGCCACAACUCUAAAACGUAAUCAUUAGAUGGUGGCAUCGGUCAAUGUGAUGUGAUUUGAGGGUUCAUUUCAUAAGCACCGAAUCUCAGCCUAACGCAUCAUAUGGGCACAUAUUAUCAUAACAUAUUAUCAAGUACUGACAAACUCCAAACCUGAAAUUGUUGGAGGUGAAAAAUGACGAGUCUUCUGGCAGGUCCAUAAUUGUGAGAAAAUUAAGUGGAUCGAUCUGAUUUAUACAUUCAUGUAUAAGUAAAAGGGGUCUGGGUGCUUUUAGUUCCAUAAGAUGAUCAAUCUGCCACAAUAUAAAGAGAGUACGGUUAAUUCAUCAAGCAACCAUAAACUAGACUACCUCAGUAUUCUCUACUAAAAAGACUAUGUUGAGGCGUGUUCUUACCUCAGAAUCUUGAGUAGGCUUUGGUUUUCUCUCUUUGGCCGCCAUUAACAAUGUUUGAAGAAAUGUGACUGCUUCGGGACAGAACUUCCGAGAUUGUUUAGUGAUCUGCAUUGCAAUACAACUAAUUAAGCCUGUAAAAUAAAUACAGCAGAGGCAAAGAAACACAGGCAUGGAACAGUUCAAAACGAUUGAAAGUUACAGGUUAAGGUUAAUUUAUUAUAUUCACAUAGGAGUCACAGGCACUCAAUCAACUUGUCUCACGUGUUUAAAUAUUAGGAUUACGAACAUGAAAGAAAGACAAAGGAGACGCCUCACACAAACUAAUGUAAAUUCAGCCUCCACUUGAAGAGCGCAUCAAAGAUAGAAAUUUUUUAUUGUGAAUAUACUUACAGAGAGAAGCAGAGAGCAUAAGAACAAGCCGACUGCAACAUCACGACCAGAUAAGAUGGGACAACGCGUCAGAUAUUCACACAUUAAAAAUAUUGCUGGAGUCAUGACCACAUGACGAAAGUCUGAACAUGGAAAUAUCAGGGACCAAAGCCUCAGGAGAAACAAUGUCUUUGAAGCAGGCCAACAACUACUUUCUUCUUAAACGAAACAAGAGAGCAUGAAUUAGCAUAGUUUAGCACAACCAAUAACUUCACAGAAAGUAAAACUAUACCAUUCCAUUGUGGAUUACCUGGGUUCUUCACAGUCUCACAAAAUUUUGUUCUGGUGCGUAGUAUUCUCUCACGAGCACAGAUUGAAGCAAAAUACGGAGUCUCCAUGCUCAUCUCCAUCAACGGCUUAACCAGCAAAUUCAGUAAUUCCAAAUUUAGCGGUUUUUUAUUUGCCAAGGUGGCAAAAUAUUGCAAAAGUAAACCAUAAAACACCUGGAAAAUGAAAUAAAUGAGAAUGAGUGCCAAGAUGCAAUCUUUCGACCAAAUUAAAGGAGAGAUGCAAUCACAACAGAUGGAGUAUACCUUAAGUUACUUCACUUCUCCAUACAAAUGUUAAAUUCAAGUCAAGGUAUCUAAGUGGAAAGCGAUAAUGAAUAACACAUGUUUCACACAAAAUACAGUCAAACAUUCAUUGACACAAAAUAGAUGUGGCAAAAGUAACAUACUUGCAUUUUCUUCUUAUUUUCAGCUGCAAGCUUGAUUGCAUUGCUUGCCCGGAUUCGAUGGAUUAUCAAGGCAAUGUCAGCAUUAGAAAGAUUAUCCAAUAAUGCAUCCAACUCUUCCAUGCUUUUCGGAGCUUCAAUUAGGUAUGGGAGGUCUGACUGAGUUAAAGAUUGUUUAUUGGCUGGCAAUUUUUUGGCAUCUAAAGAUUUACCAUCACUCUUACUAGCUUGAACAGCAUCAUUUCUUUUCAACUUUUUCAGAUGUCUUUGCUCCACCUCUUUUUGAUCAGCAUCAUCAUCACCAUUUUCAUGUUCGUCAGAGUCUUCUUCUUCAUCAUCCAAGUCUAAGUCAAGAUUAUCAUCAUCACUUUGUUCCCACUCCUUAUUCAAUAGAUCUCUUUCCCCUUCACUAUCAUCUUCAUCAGAACCCUCAACACCAUCAUCUUCAGGACUUUCUGAACCCUCAGAAGAAUCAGAAUCAUCUCCUUCACUCUCAGAAUCACCAGCAUCUCUUCGUUCGAGAAUCUCAUCAACCCAACCCUUUUUAUUCCUUGGUUCUUCCUCGAGCGAGAAAGAAUCACCAAGAUCAUCUCCAGAUAUAGCUCUCAGCCUCAGGGUAGAUGGUUUCUCAGCAUCUUCAUUGUCUUCAUCACUAUAGUCAUCAGUGGGAUGCAUCCUUUUCUGCCUCUCUUCCUGAAUUGUGAAACUUGUCAGCAAUUAAGUUUACAACUUGAUAAUAAAAAGUACAAGCGAGACAAACAUUCAGCUAAUAAAUUAUCAACUUUAAUGACAUGGAAAUCCCAAGUUAAGUAUAGAUAAAUAAACAAAAACAUCUAUCCUGAAAUGACAUGUCACUAUGUACCAUAUUGGAAUCGAGUAAAUGAUAAAUGAACCAAAUUGAAACCCAAGAUGGCAACCUUUUAGAGCUUAAACAUAUAGCUUAUCCAGGGGCAUAAACCCAUAUAGCUUAUUAGAACAGUGAAGACAGUUCUUGGUGCACCAAUUUAUGCAUACUGCACUUGCCAACAACAAUCUACAAUUUACCAAUACAUGUUCUAAUACUAUAAGGAAGUUCAAUAAUAUCCACUAAUACAUAGCUGCAAGACAAAGGGAAUUUCAUGUUUGGUGGGUUAAGCUACUGUAGUCUAAUAAUAACAAGCAUCUAUAAAGAUAAGGCUGUUGGAUCUGCAGAUGAAACUUGCAUUCAAGCAAGCAUAUAAAUGAAUGAGAUACCUCCAAUUGUUCUAGUUGCUCCCUCUCUUCUUGUGCUAUCUCUUCAGGCGUCUUGGUCCUACUCGAGGGUUGAGCACGCCUUUCCAUUGCCAAUUCUCUUUCAAGUUUAUCAUAAGCGUCAGAUUUCUCCUGCCAAAGCCAGGAAACUAAUUUACUUACCCAAGUCUCAAAGUUAUGCAAGUUUAACAUGUUUAGUACAGCUGUACAGAACAAUAAAACUUUAUAAAAAUAAAAAUAAAAAUAAAAAAUCUAUUGAAAAUAUCAUACCUGCUCAGAAGUUCCAAAGAUCUGAGUAGCAGAAACCUCAUGCUUAAUGCUUUUGUCUAUAAGAGCUUUCGAGGCAAUUACAGAGGUAAACUUUUUGUCCAAUUCUUCCAUCAAAUCUUUGUUUUCAUCCUUCUCCUUCGACUUUUCAAACUGGGAAUAGAUGAGAAGAAUAAGGAAGGAAUCCAUAACUAAAUUAAAGACUUAGGAAAUUGAUGUAGCCACCACCACAAGCCAUUUCAAUGACAUAAACAAGUAAGAAUCCAAACCUUAUAAUUUUUGGACUUCAAUAUCAUCUCAGCAUAUCUUUCCUUGUCACUUUUAUGCCUCUGGUACAAAAACAACGAAACAAGCAUUGGCAUUUUUAUCGCUCUAAUGUUUCUACCGAUAAAUCUAUAAUCUACUGAAGAAAACAACUUUGCUGACAUAUUAACCUAAAAUAAUCUAGUAUUUCAAUAUAAUGCACCACAAACGAGAUAGCAUAAAAUUUCUCACAUUUUCAUUUCCGUCACUUAAAUCCCCGUCCUUAUCAUCAGAAUUAAAUUGAUAUCUUUCUGCAGAGAAGAAAAACGAGUAACGUUACUCCCAUUAACAUAGAUCAAAAGAACCAAUAACUAAAUCAUAAGCAGUUUCAGUAGCCAACUAGACAUGGAAAAUGAUCAUCAUACACAAAAUCACCAUAAAAAUGCUUACUUUUAGCAGUUUCUCCACCAUCAUCAUCUUCGUCAUCUUCCUGCGGCAUAUCAUCCUCAAAAUCAUCCCUCUGAGACAAUGCACCAAGACUCUGAAACUCAAACUCGUCGUCUUCGCCAUCUGACAAGUUAUACUUGCUCUUCUUGCUUUGCUUCAGCUAUCAAAAAAAACCAGUAAUGCCAACAAAUUCAGUCACAUUGGAGAUUAUCACUAACAUACACAUAGAUCAAAAUCAAAAUUCAAACUCACUUGACGCUCACGCUGGGUACGCCGAAUGGCCUUAUCAAACUCAUCAAGCUCAUCAUUUCCCUCUCCGAUUCGCUUAUCCACAAACACCGAAGAUUUACCGCUCUUCUCAUACUCCUUCAGCAAUGUCUUCUUCCUCUGUUUCACCAAAACCACAUUAAUUACCCAAAAAAAAAAAAAAAAAACAACCUAAAAUUUCAGAGCUUGAAUGAAACUUAGGGAUGAAUAAGUGUUGACCUUUUCGAUGGCCUGAGAGCGAGCAAGGCCGACACGGCGCUCUUCGCCUUUGCGCUUUUUGCCGAGGACGUCGAAUUUCCGCCGGGACCAAAUGGUCUCGAAGGGGUUGGGCUUCGGCGGCUGGACCUUCAUAGCCGCCGCUUUCGGUCCUAGUUUACUUUUCUUCUUCUUCUUCGUCUCCUUCGCGGUGCUGUUGUCGUCGGAGCGACUGAGCUUUGGCAAUUUGCCGGCGAAGGGGUUUGGUUUGGGGGACUGGUGCUUCAUGGAUGCGGCGCGUGGGCCGGACUUCAGCUUCGCCAUGGCUGAGAGAAGGUGGUGGUGGCCGUUGGUAGGGUUUAUGGAUGAAGAAGGAAAGGGGUAAGGGUUUUGCAGUGAGAUUUCUGAUUUUGGGAGUUGGGUCGGGUCGAUUCCGGUUUGGUUCGACUCGUUUUGGGCCCAAAGCUCCAACGGUAUUCGGCGUAUCCCACCUCAGUAUCAAGUACGUACUAUACUGUAUUCUAAAGUCUUAUCUUCCAAGAUACUUAUUGAUCGCCUAAAUGACAAGAUUAGACCUGUAAAUAGACCGGAUCUUGAUCCGGACCCGCUCUGGAUCCGUGGUUUUUAAACUGGUUUGGAUCGAAAAUUAGACCCGUUGAUCCGUUAAGGACUCGGAUCUGUUAACCCGUUUAUUAAACGGAUCGGAUACGGAUCGAGGUUGAUCCGAUCCGUUAAGGACCCGGAUCUGUUUUAAAAUAAUUAAAUAAUAUUUUUAUAAAUAUAAUAUUAUUAAAAAAUAUUAAAUAAUAUAAUAAUUAUUUGAAUAACCUAAACGUCUAAAGUAUAAUCAUUUGAUGAAGUUGAAGGUUACUGAUACCUAUGUUCUUUUUAUACACUUUGCUAAAUACAUUGGAGGUUUAGUAUUUUGAAUAUAUUAGUUUAUUGUUAAGGAGUAUUUUGGUCAUGUAAUUCAACUUUUGAUGUAAACUUUUAUUUUGUUAUAAUAUUUCAUUAGUGUUUUAUGAAAAUUUAUAAUAAAAUUAAGAAAUUAUUAUUUACAAAUUAAAAAUAUUUAUAAUUAUAAACGGAUCGGAUUAACGGGUCGGGUAUUCGUUAACCCGCCGGAUCCGGAUUUGGAUCUAGCUAUCAAAGAUCCGGCGGGUAACGGGUCGGAUCCGGAUCCAAAAUUUCUAUUACGGAUCCGGAUCCGGAUCUAGGUAGAUCCGCUCCAGAUCCGGUCCAUUUACAAGUAUAGACAAGAUCCGUUGUCCAAGAUACAUUGAAACUUUUGCUAGCCCACUCAGUUCCAUUCAGAAGGGAAUUGCUUACCUGAUGAUUAAGUGAAUAUGGGCAAUUAGUACAAUUCUCUACCGUUGUAGAUUGUCAUGUCUUAUCGUUUGAUAACGUUUCAAAUCGAUUAUUGUAAAAGUUUCAGUUUUUAAAUUUUUUGUUGUAAUCUUAAGCGGUCUUACCUGAUGAUUUAGUGAAUAUGGGUAAUUGAUACAAUGAUCUACUGUUGAGCAUCUCCAGCAGUAGAGUUAAAUUUAUUGCUAAAUUUGUCAACAUUUAGAUUUAAAAUAACAAUUUUUAAACUUUUGCUCCAGCAGUGUUGCUAAAUUAUAUACAUUAGCUAAGUUUUAGUUAAUUAUCUCCCCAAGAUUGAUAAAUUGAUCAAUUUUCUCCAUCAAUUUCUAAAUUUAUCAACUUCUUAAGCAUACUGCUGGAGCAAAUAUUCAUUUAAAAAUUGAUAAAUCUCUAAUUUUUUUUAAUUUAUCAAUACUGCUGGAGAUGUUCUAUCGUUUGCUAGUGUUCAAGUUAGUUGUUGUAGAAAUUUUAGAUUUUAAGUUUUUUGUUGUAAUCUUAAGCAGUCUUCCUAUUGUAAAACCAAACAAUUUAGAUUAUCAAAAUGGACUUGCAAAAGUCAGUAUUCAUGUAUUACUUAGUCACUUGAGCACUCGAGUCAUGACAAAAUAUUAUUUUUGACUAUCCAGCCUCAAUUAAAACUAUGAUUGUGGAGUUUGCAACUAAGUUUUUCAUGAUUAAAGAUUCUGACUGGACACAUUGUGAGCAAUUGGCAAACAAUAACAGAAGUGCUAUGAGUAUGAAUUAUAAGUCAUCACUAGUUAGCUAGAUUACCAUGGUUAGUGAGUGGAAAUCAGCAUAGACUUCAUUUGCAUCAUGACUCAUGAGAUGUAGAGAUGUAUAGAUUGCUAUAAAGUGGCAGAGAAUGAGGUUUAGUCCCCACUCCCCAGUGUCCUCCUAAUUCCUAACUAAGGGGGGUCAUGUCCCAGAAAUAUAUACUUAGGUUGGGUUUUAGGUCAUGUGUUAGCACCAUCUGCCUUUACACAUCGAACUACUACGGUACAGCAUCUAAAGAAAAUCAUGCAUGACCAUAAUCAAGGACCCCAUGUUGUCUCUUAAAGCAAUAAUAAUAGGCACCAAUGGGCAAUGGCAGCCUGAGUAAAGACAUGACACAUGAGUAACACUUAUCCAUUCACACAUUAUUAUUCACUAUUCAAUAUGCCUUUAUACAAAACCAAUUACACUAUCAUAUAAAUCUUGCUCAUAAGUCUAUGUCUGCCUGAUUAGUGCUGGUUUUACUAGGCCAAGAGCCAGAAAUCUUUCUGGCGCUUUGUAGUGAUCAAGUACCCUCCAACCUUCUUGCUUUUCCUCCUCACUGCAAUCGCCAUGCAACUGGCAUUCUGUAUACAGUACUCCACCACCCCGCCCCCGCCACCGACACGGUUGCUCCCCGCCCACAUCAUCAGCAGCCGCCACGUCGUAGACCUCUUCUUCUGUCCCAGAACCAGCAGUGACACCCCUUGCUUUUUGGCCUCUUCCACUAUUGUUGGCCCUUUCUCCUUUUUCCCUAAUUCCACCACUGCAACCUCAGUUUGUACCUAUCACCAACACUGAUCAUCAUCACGAAUUUACAUUAUAAAAGCAAUGACAUAAAGUUAUUACUGUCUUUUCUAUAAUGCCAUGUAAAUAAUCAUCAUUAAUCACCUUAUAAGAAGUAUCUCAUCAUUAUAUAUACACAAGACUAAACUGGAAAUUAUCAUAAAGACAAGCGAGUUUCAUAUGCCUAUUAAGGCACCCAACAUUAUACAUGUCAAUGAUGUCCUUCAACCACCCCCUUUAACAAAGUAGUAUUCUAAAUGAAAGAAGCAGUAUGCUUCAACCUCUGUUAUACUCUGCACACAAAGAUAGAUACGUACAUAUUGCUUACCCAGAACAAAUGUACUAAAUUUGCUACAGGAAAGAAGAAUUCUAGUUAAUUUUGGUUCAGUUGGUAGAUAGUAAGAUUAUUCCAGGGAAAAAACUGUUGUGCAGGGAAGAAAAACGUAAGUUAAAACUUGUACAUAUUGCAAUCGAUGAGCUCAAUACACACACCUCAGGUCUCUUCAGCUGGCACAUAUUCCUCAGAGAAUGAACAAGUUCAUAAGCCCUUGGAGCUAUAAUAUCCUCACCUGUAAUUGUAACGAAUGAUCAAAUUCGAAAACCACUUCUCUAAGCUGAAAGAUAAUCAUCAGAAGAAACUUAAAACUAAAAAGUUCUCAAACCUUGUUUUGAAGUUGAAGGUUUGGUUACAUGUAGCAGUACAAGCUUGUCCUGGUUCUGAACAGUGUGAGAAAGAGCCCAUUGCAGAGCUCCCUUGGCUUCAAUGCUCGAAUCAACCACAAUCAUGAUCUUCCUCGCAAAAACCACCCCGGAUUUUUUAGCCCCAUCUCCAUCUGUAACUUUCUCUUCUCCAGCAUUGCCACAAUUCUCAACUUUCCCACCAUUUUUAGUGAUCUCUGCAGCAUCUAGUUUCGACUGUAUCGGUGGAGAACGAACUCGAACAUGAGGCCUAAUCCUGUUGAGGCAGAAACUUGGCAACUUUGUGCCUAUCCUCCCCAUUUGUCCUCAGAUAGAAAUGAGACUACCUUGAUUGAGACUGAAACUAAGGACCAGAAAUUGUUAUAAAGAGGAGGGUUGAAGAAGGUCUGCAAUUUAUUCUAGAGAAGCUUAUAUGGGCCAUGCAUGUUUAUAUUUUGCUUUGCUCUUCUUCUUUUUUUUCCUUUUUAUCGAGGAGUAAUCAUGUUAGCUAGGGUCUUUGUUUCCUUUGUAUUUCUUCUUUUCUGCGCGGGAUGGGGCUAUGAACGUGGUUGUCAUGAAGCUGUAGGGCCAUUUCAGGACCAGCAGUAUUCACUUCAGAUAGUAAUCUGGCAUGUUACUGCAAUCAGUUUUCUUAAUAUUUCUUCCACGAACUUGUUCCUCGCAAAUUAGUUUUUAUGUUGUAGUGAGCAGAAACAAUCAUAUGCUUUUAUGUUGUAGAGAUCGAUCUCUAGUAAGAUGAGAAAUUGGUGAACAUCUAAGAUCGAUCUAACCGUAUUGAGAUUCGUAUUAAUUUUUCAGGACAUUAUUUGGAACAUUCUGCAUAGAUCGAUCUCAACUGAACACAACAUAUUAUCGCUUGCAAACUAUCACAACGUUUAAAUUUCAGCUCCAGGGCCCUUUACUCCUUCUAUUUGAGAUUAUGUUAGUACAUAAUUGUUAGGUUUUCGAAUCAGUAAUCCCAAAUGUGCUGGCAUCCUCUUGGGGCAAUUAUUAGUGCUGUAUGAUUGAAAUUUGGAUUAUGUAAUUUGGAACUUUGCAAAGGCUCGAUAUUAUCACUUGUUAAUUUUAUGCAUUUUAUAAAGAAGUAGCUUCGCUCAAACGCAACCAAAGUUAUCAUUUUACCAGUAAUCAACUCGAAUGAAAUCUAAUUAAUCAUGCUUGUUUACCACCUAAAAAUAUGUAAAUCAUUGACCAUAAAGCUCAACUGCAAUUUUGAUACGUACAAGUAAUUGGGUUUGCUUGUAUAGCGCACCGGCUUCUCACUCACUGUUGCAUCUGCUUCUCAAAUCAAAACCGAGACAACACGACAUAUAUAUAAGUUUGAUGCUUCUAAACAAUUUUGUUUGUUCAUUAAUUUGCACCAAAAAAGGGACGUGCCAAUAAACUCCAUUUUGACUUCCAAUCUCCAAAAGCAAAGCCAAUUUGAGAAAGAUGGAGGAUUUGCAUGUCUUAUGAUAACAAACCGCCCAACCAUGAUGCUCAUGUGAGUCAUGUCCUUCCAAUUCAAGACAAUUAUAUGCGAAAAAGUUGCCACUGCUAAAACCUAUAAGCAUAUCUCCUCAAAGUUGCCAACCAUGUUUAUACUUGAUAUGAUAUGUGGUGUAUGAACCAAUCCACAUAAACAUACAAUUUCUUAACUCAUCUCAUACUUGAUCUUACAAUGUCAAUGAGAUUUGAUCUUAUAACCUUUACGGUAUUAGUGAUCUUGCUAACCAACAAGCCACUACUUAUAGACAAUCAUAGAUCUGGUUGAACAAUCCUUAACUAUUAUGAGUAUUAUCGUCAAUAUUUAUUAUUAUUAUUAUUUUUUUAUUUUUUUGUAUAAAAGACUCUUGGAAGGUGGCUUGCAAAUGGGCCUGUUUAUUAACAUGCUCCGAGCAGGCUAUGUGAAUGAGCGCAAAGGCCCAUAUUAGAUAACAAUUCAUAUCCUACUUCUUACCCAAUUAGGAAAAGGACAAUAGUUAGUCUAAAGAGGAAAUCUAUAAAUACUUCUUGUUGCUGUUUCUCUGUUCCAUAGUUCUGCAGUGGUUGUUUGUUUGGGAUUUUGGUUCUUGGUGAAUUGAUCGAUCCACGUUCUGAAGUAAGUGAUGGGUUCUGUUUGUUGUUGUGGUCCUAAGAACGAUCCCAAAGAUGAUGAAGAAACUGUGCCUGUGUCAACAAGACCACAUAUAAUGGGGGAAGUCGUCGGAGAACUUGGUUACGUCUACGCUUCGUCGGAAGAGGAUGAAGAUGAAGGAAACGGCCGGAGAAACGAAUUACAGCAAUGGUGGAGCUGGAAUUACUGUAACGGAAAGCCGAACGCCCUGGACGAGAAUCUUCUGGCUAAUUAAGUACCAGAUUAGUUAACCUAAACGUUUGUAAACCAAGUUUAGUAAUUAAUCGUCUGAUAUAGGGUUUACUUACAACAUAGUGGUUCAAUAUCUGUGCGAUUUUUGCAACAACAGAAAAAAAAACCCAUUAUCUCCGGACCUGAAUAGUUUGGUCCGACGAAAUUAGAUCUUCUACUUUUCUUUCACAACUUUGAUGAUUACAUCAGUGAGAUUCUAGUUACGUAUCCUUUCCUUUUGCUAAAAGGAUUAUGUUCGAGUAUGGAAGUAGAGCUCGAGAUAAGAUUUCCACAGUUAAAAAGUAAAAACAGAAGAAACAUCAAGUAAAAAUGUUUUGGAGAAUCCACGAUAUCUUUUAGACCUUUAAUUCCGGAUUUCGGCGUAAAUCCUUACGCAACUCAAGUAAGGAUUCCCAAAACGAUACGAUUUUCGAAUUCAAUUGAUUCUAUGUUCAACCCUUUGUUAUAUCUCUCUUCUCUUCUAUUUUCUUUAAUUUAUUAAUUAAUAAAUAAGCGCCUUCAUUAGCUUCUAUCUCUUAAUUCACUCCUACUCGAUCUUUCUGCUUCUUCCGUUUUCUUUCCCAUCGUUUAAUAUUUCUGGGAUUCUUGGUAGUCAAGAGGAGGCCAUCGCAAUCUGCUCUGGUUUCAAAGUAUGUUUCUUAAAUCUCUAGCUCCACCUAUGUAUUGUGAUUUCAAUUCUUUUCGGAGUCUGGAAGAUUGGAACUCUGGGAUGUAUAUUAGCUUUAAUUUUUGUCUUGAGACUUUUCUUGUUCUAACAGUCAUCAUGCGUAUGAUUAUAUGAUGGUUUAUGUGAGAUUUUGAUCAUUGAUUAAAAUAGAAUGGUUUCCCCCUCUCCCCCUCUCUCUAUCUAUUUUUUCUUCUCCUGUGACGUAACUUUUUUUUUUGGACGAUUCGUGCCGAUUCGUGCAGGGUGUGACUGAAAGUUCAAAUAGAAGCUAGUUGAGGCGAUUUUCUUGAUGGGUUGUUUUUUCUCUUGCUUUGAUGUGAACGAUCCUUUGGAUAACACGCAGAAUGCUAACAAUGCCAAUGAUGGUAACCGGAUCAUCAUCCCUAAUUUGUACAACAAGGUACAUGUUUCAGAAUUUCCAUCACUUUUCAUUCCAUAUAGUCGACUAUAUAUGAGUGUGUGAUAACCCUAACAAGUUUGAUGUUAAGCAGAUUGCGUCCGUUAACGAGGUAGCUCUUGGAAGUAUACAAUGUGAGACUGGCAGGGAUGCUGCCACUGCUACUGCUAUUAUCCGAUCCCUUCCUGGUGAUCCCUUUCUUAUUGAAAAGGAGAUUGGAGGACAACGUUACCUUUACCCUUCGUCGAUAGAAGAGGAAGAAUGCCCUACAUGUCUUGAAGGUGAGUAUUGCUCUUAAAAUCUGUUUAUAGCGAUACAUUUUCACUUUGAUUUGGUUUUCUAGCUAAUUAGAUACGCUGAAUGUAUGCUGAGGCUCCUUGAUUCAAAAUUUCUGCAGAAUAUACACCUGACAAUCCAAAGAUAAAAACAAAGUGUUGUCACCAUUUCCACCUUGCUUGUAUAUAUGAAUGGUUGGAGAGAAAGCAAACUUGUCCAGUUUGCAGCCAGGUAACCAAUUUCUCUAGCUAGCUUAAUACUGUUUAUAACAUGAUAUUUAUAGAACUUCCUUCAAAUUGAUUAAUAUAUGAAUUCUUACACGGCUCAACGCAAAGGCGAAAAUUUAAUCAUGAAAUUGUGGUCUUAUCACAUACUAAAUAGAGAUUUGAAAAGGAUACCAGAGAAGAACAUACAUGGAGAUUUGAAAUUAAUGUACAAAUAGAAUACUGGUGCUGUGAAAACUAGAAAACUAGAACUAUGUAAGGCACACUUCCGGUGAAAGUAUUAGCCAAUGUACUGGGAGAUAAUAGUUGUGGUGUGUUUGUAAUAAAAUAGCUACAAGAGUACUACUUAAUUCGUCCUGAACCUGACCAACUGCAAAUUCUUUUUGUAGGUGAUGUCAUUCAAUGAUCUCUGAGAACACACAACUGCAACAGCUAGCUAGCGAAGUAGAAACAUUCCUAUAUAAACGCAGAAGAGGAUAUUGGUCAAGCAAUCAAAUUAAAUUUCAAGGAUUGAGAGAAGCCUUUUAAAUGAUCUGUAAUGUAUUGUUCCAAUUCUUCAAGAGUGAAGCUGUAAAUGCAAUAAUUCUGGGCUUAAAUUUAUAUUUCAGUGGGAAUCAUACACCAAUUCCAUAUAUAAAUGAUGGCAAUCCCAUUCAAAUUCCACAUCUCGUUAGCGAUUUUGUUUUUCUAGUCUUUCUUUCAUGAUAGUAACUUGGUAACUUGUGUGCAUACUUAUCUUAGAUUUCUUUCCUACUUACCCUUUGACAUUAUUUGCUAAAUUAGACAACUCUAGGUAUACACCUUAUAUAUUAGAAAAGCCCAGACCUCAAUCAGUUUGCUUAAAUAAACAGGAAGACUCUGUCUCACAAAUCUACAAGUACUUUGUUAAAACAAUUUUCUUAAAAUUACUGCACAAUAUACGUAGAAAUUUAUAGGAAAUUUCCAUCAAGUUCACUAAUUAAGAUACAGUGAAUUUUUUUCAAGCCGCAUAAAGUUUGGCAAUAUAUAAUAUUUUGAUAACAUCAAGAGAGCUAGAGAUCGAAGUAGAGAAUUGUAGCAAAACCCAAUAAUCUUCAGUAUAUAUACUGAUCGAUCACAUUGGAUGUCUUAAAUCCACCGCUCACCAAUCAAGCUUACAUUAUACCACAAUAUCUGGUGAAGCACUACUAUAUAGAGCGAGUAUAUAACCUUAACCUUAUGCUACUAGUGCACUUAGGGAUUAAUAUUACUUGGUGAUGAUAUUCAUGAAGCAAAGCAUCCAAGGUGGCAUGAAUACAACGAUGGCUCGAGAGUAAGGUCGAGCUGGUUCCUCCUCACCUGAAGGAACUGAUCAUUUUGCUGAGUGCCCCUGCAUAUAUCAUAAGUUCAUAACCAUAUACCGUAUUAUACUAAGGCCCAAGUAUUUUAUAAUUUAAGUAUGAAGUAUGGUACGUAAUAGGAUCUUACCCCAUGUUCAAACAUGGAAUUGGACCCUGUGCUAGCAGGUUAAGGCCAUGGUUUUGCUGCUGCUGCUCCCAGUCAUGAACCUCCUGAGCUUCCGCUACAUUCUUCUCGUGCUCCUUAAUCUAUAUUAAUAAUGUUGAUUAAUUUAUGAAAGCAGAACCUAAUGAGAAGAAGAGCCGUGCAUUAUCACAUAAAUUAGAAAAGACAUUGCUAGCAUAUAUGAAAAUGACCUUCUUUGAAAGCAAGUUGUUCUGCUCCUUGAUUGCCUUCUCCUGUUACAGUGAGGAACAAAAAGAAAGAAUUUAUGAUGAUCAGAUUUUGAGACUGCAAGUAAAUGGAUACACACAUACAUGUGUACACCUUACAAAUCAAGUAUAAUUGCAUGUCCUCGCCUUUCACAGACCAAUGAACCAAAACUCUACUAUAAUUGACUUGUACGAAUCAAAAUUCUUAACUAGUUACCAAGAAUCUCACACAAAGUGACCAAAAAAAAAAAAGAAUCUCACACAAAGUGACAAAACAAACAAUUGCUUAUUAUAAAGUUUAGUAUGUUAAUAAAUAGUUAGUGUGCAAAAUGGCCAUGGCCGAACCUUCCUCUGUAGCUCAGAGAUCGACUCAUGCAUGAGUUGGUUCUGCAAGAAAUCAAAAUAUAUAUAUUAGCACUAGAUCAAACUAGCUGCAGACUAUCACUAAUCAACCCAGCUAGCAUACUUUUUAUCAAAAAAAAAAACCAGCUAGCAUACUUUUCUUGAUCGAAUUUGCUUAAGAGCAGUUUCAAGCUGUUGCUCCAAACUUUGGAUCUCUUUGAUACUCAAUGAAUCCAGAUCUUCUCCCAAAUAGUGCCUGCAGUUUGAUUGGUUUAAGCAAAGAAUCAAGAUGAAUCAAUCAAUUCAGGACAGAAUCAUUCUGGGGCAAGUUAUUACGAGAGUAGUGAAGCAGCCAUCUAUAUAUACCUUAGGUUUCUCUGCAGAAGCUCAACUUUCACCUUCAGCCUAGCAUGUUCGAAGGGCCAGUUACCCUGCAUUAAGUACCAAGUGACCUAAUUGAUCAGUAUAUAUAUAUAAUAUAUGAAGAACCACAGUCAAGUGACGGGAAAAUGGAAAGUACCUGUGAAUCAAAAUCAGGUUCCACUAGCUGUCUCUCUGCAUAUGAGUACCUCUCAUAGCGUUCAAGUAUAUCCUCCAUGCUGCACAGCCAAAACGGAGCUUGACCAAUAUAUCUAACAUGAUGCACUUAACUUAUAUAUGCAACCAAGAGAGCUAAAUCUUCAAGGGUCUAUCUGUACUUAACCGUAUUAAGGAUAGGAGGAGUUUCUCAAGAGUUUCAUGAAAGCAUACAUCAGAUUGUUGUAUGAAUUAAACCAUUAAAGGCUUUAUGCUAAGGCAUUUUACAAUUUUUACUAAUUCCAUCAAACAAAAAAUUACAUCUUACUGGCCCCCAUUAGGAUAUUACUGAUAGUUUAAUCACAUACUAUUUCUAUAUAUAUAUAUAUAUAUAUAUAUGCACAGUUUCUUGAGAGAUAUUUGAGCUUUACUUGUUUGAAACUAAAUAAUUAACUAAAUAAUGCAAACAAUGAGACUUCUUGUGUCUUUACUACUUGUUUGAGAAAACAUUGCAUGAUGCCCUAGCUACAAAAUUACAUGUUUCGAGUUGGACUAACAAUGGAAGAAAUUAAGUACUGAAAGAGCUGGUAUAUAUACUAGCGUUGCAUACUUUUUAUUCUUUAGAUUUUGCUUAUUUAAACUCAGAAAAACGUUACAAAAAUAUUACAGAUAUCAGUAAAUUACAGAGCUUUAGAUUUGUACACCAAAAAGUCCAGGAAUUCAGAUUGCAUCAUUUUUUUUUAACUUUUGACUGUGUUGUCCUCUCUUCUUUUAAAGACAUGUGUGAUAAUGGAAUAUUCCAUCCAGGUUUUCUACACCUCUUCCGCACUUCUUCAUUAAUCCUUCAUAAUAUUUUCUGUGUUGCUAGAAAAAAAAUUCAGUUUCUUUUUCUUAAUUUGCAUAUUAUAAAAUCAGAACAGUUUGAAAUCAGCUCUGGAAUCAAGUCAUCAACUCCAGAGUUAAGUUUAUAAAGAUGUAAAUUAGUAGAUUUUUCACAGGAUGCUGCACAUCAACCCAAACCCAGGUCAUCUAUGCUUAAGUAUCCCCAAAAGCAGAUGAAGUACUGAUAAAUCUCACAUAAAGAUUUUUCAUCUAGGUCAUUAAGCUCUACUUUAUAUCAAAUCAAGCACUCUUAACCAUUAGAUCGAUCCCAGCUAGCUUGCAUCCACUUGAUUAAUUAGCUGCUUUAAUAAGAACUUGGUCUUAAUGUUUUCUUUGUUGAACAAUAAGAAGUUCUUAUUAUUAAGCACCAAAAUAUUUGCAUAAUAUUAAUAUUAAUCUCUAAGCUUGGAUUUAAAAAGACAGAUAAGAAAAAUAUAACAAAGGAGCAGAAGGAGGAGAAGAUGAAGAAGAAGAAGGAGGAGGAGGAGGAGGAGAAGAAGAAGAAGAAGAAGAAGAAGAUCGAGGGUGGCUAGCUAGGUUAUGAGAGAGAUGAGUAGUACCAUGAAUCAGUUGCGUAUUCAAAGAGCUUCCCUUUGUUAGAGAAGACAAUCAAAGCAACCUGAGCAUCGCACAUGACAGAGAUCUCAUGCGCCUUCUUCAGCAACCCAGUUCUUCGUUUCGAAAACGUCACCUGCCUGUUGAUCUUGUUCUCUAUCCUCUUCAGCUGAACCCUACCCCUUCCCAUAUUGAUGAUAAAUAUUUCUACCUGAAUCAAUGACUACUUUCCUUUUCUAUUUCGAUCUUUCAGAUAAACACCCAAACAAGGUAAAGCCCCCAAAAAAAGAAAGACAACCUGAAACUAGAGAGGAAAAUUUAAUGGGUUGUUUCUUCUUCUAGCUUAGCCAUAUCUGAGAGGUUUGUCUGAGGAAAAAAAGUAAUGUGCAUAGUGUAUAUAUGGAAAAGGAAAAUAGGGGAAUUUAGGAUUUUAUUUAUUUAUUGGAAGCUUAAAAGCGGUUUUAAGAGGGUAGGGGUGGUUUUUGUGGAAAAUAAAAAAACCGGUGUGGCUUUAAGGAUGCGCUGUCCACUCCCCAUCGGAUAGUAGUACUAUGUGGUCGCUUCCCUGCGAAAUUGACAACUCGCACAUCAGUUCUGUGUAUGUUAUUGCUUUGGUUAACUAAGUACAGUAAAAGUAAUUAUUACAGCAAGGCCAUAUUUGGGACUUGGAAGGAUUUAAGUACUGAUCUAUCUGAUUAGUUAAUUUGUUGUUCAUCUUAUACUAUUGCAUUUGCAUGUUAGGAGAUGGGUCAUUUGUACUACGGGUGCAUGUCUGUUUUUGGUGAUGUUGAUUUAUCUGUUAAGAUAUUUAUUUUUCAUUAACCGACAAACUUUUACAUUAAACUAUCGUGUUCGACUUUAAAAAAAAUAAAUAUAAAAUAAAAAAAAUAAAAAAAUUAUAGUGUUCAAUACCACCGAAUGAAUUAACAUUUUACUAAGAAAUUAAAAUUUACACUCGUUUUACAAUUCACACUUGUGAUUUCUGUUGUAGUAAGUUUAAUUUUAUCUUUAGUAACAUGUGUACGUUUUAUCUAUUUAUAAAAGUCUUAACCAAUAAAAAGAAAGAAAAAUGUAUGUAGACCGGAAAAUUAAGUGUGCGGAUUUCAGUUUCCUGGCAAAAUAUUUGUAUAUUGUGCUUAUUAUUGUUUUUGUUAUGUGAUCCGGGUUUUUUCCUUUUUUUUAUCAAGUAAAUAACUUAAAUAUUACAACUUCGUGAGUCGAACUCAUAAUCUCUUACAUACUAAGGGGAGACUAUACCGUUAAACCAAAUAAUAUUGGACGAGGUUUUUUCCCCUUGUGUUGAAGGAAAUAAUCAUUUUCAUUUUUCAAUAUAUUCAUUGAAUAACUCCUAAGAAAAGUCAUGUGGAAGUAUUGAAUUGCCUUCCAAGCAGGUGUGGGGGUCUGUGGGAUAUAUGCAAUUUUAGUGAUUCAUGUCCCUAGUCCAUGUAUGGUAACCCUAUAAAUUAAACAGUAAACAUCGUAUAUGUCCGACCUACCGACAAUAUAUAAGGGAUUGGCCUACGUCUUGAACCCUCCAACCCAAAUUUAGAAAUCCAGCUACUUAAUUCACAAAACCUUAUCUCUUUAAUUAGGAAUUCUUGUCCCCAAGGUUAUGUAGCCACUCAAAUAUAACCAAGAACAUGCAUGAUGUGCGUCAAUAAUGUCUCAUAGUACAGGAGUUGGAUACCUUAUUUGUAUAUGAAUUGAAUUCUUUCCUAUGAUUUGGUUAUGUAUAUAUGAGAAUUAGUUUAUUUCUUUUUCGAAAUCUGAAAAGAUGAUGUCUUUGUUAUCUUGGCAUAAAUUGACAUUUCUCAGUGAAAAGAAGGAGGAGAUCGAGUAUCAUAUUGGGUAUUCAAUUGAACACCACCACCACUAUAGUUCACUAUCGACCAUAUUAGACAGCUCAAAGACUUCAAAGCAUCCAUGCAUUAUGAUUUAUGAGACAAAUCCGCAACGAGUCUAGGUUGAGACUGCUACAUUGUUCGAGUGAUCACGAUUGUAGCUGUGAUUAAAUCCAGAUAGAACACAAAUACAAACGGAGAUCGAGUAGUUUGAUCAUUCUUGAUUAUGAAACCGCAUAAUUAAGAUUUAUAGUUACCCUAUCGAUCUGCAGUGUUUAGUUGUUGCAUUGUAAACGCUCAAAGAAACCUUGAGCUGAUUGAGCAGUAGAUGGGUGGCCAUUUGGUAUACUUGGCUGAUUUGCUUUUAUUGAACCUCGUUGAAGACCUUCAUUACUCUCUUCCAACUGUGACCAACAUGAAGCAGAUUCAGAAUUAAAAUACAUUAAUAAAUCUACAUUCAAGUACAAGGUUCUGGCCAUAUAGAUAUAAAUAUAUACCUUCAUUCUCAAUUCAUCGUUUGCUUCCAGCAGCAGCUUUUCCUGCAGAUGAAAUUCUUGAAAGACUUACAUAGGUAACAUAACAGUCACACCUAGAUUCAUAUAUCGACCAAUGAUAACGUACAUAUUAAAGUAAUGUUAGGUGAAUUACUAAUUUCGAUCCCACCUAAAUUCUACCUUAUGUGACAAACAUCAAUGAAUGAAAUACUUUGAUAUGGUGAAUUGGUGAUUACAUUUUCUGCCACAUAUACAUGAAAUCGAGUUUUAUUAAUAUGGUUCAUCUAGUAUUAUGCAAAAGGUUAAGAUCAAUAUAUAUACCUUCUUUUGAAGAUCGGAAAGCUGUUCAAGUAUAUUUUGGCUCUGCAAUCAAAUAAGGGUAAUUAACUUGGAUAAAGUAUUUAUGUAGCUAGAUAUAGUGUCUUAGAAUGAUAUAUGGUUUCCAAGUAGCCAAACCAAAAACUUCGUUUUUGACGAUAACAACCACAAGGGCAGAAGAUAUACAAUCAACCUGGUUAACAAUUGAAACUCCAAACUCCCCAAUCGGUGGAAGAAUUCAGAUAUAUUCCACAAAAGUAAAUAAAUCAAUAUAAGCUACAGAUAUGAAAUUACCCCCGGUCACUUAGAAACUGAUGAAAUCCUUAAACAAUACGAUGCAAAGCUUAAAUGGCUUCACAAAAAUAACUGUUAUAUGCAACUAGAUUAGCCAUCCACAACUACUAUAUCCCGUAGUUAGGAAACAAAAGUGGAUACCUGUCUUGACCUAACUCGCUUCAACGACAAAUCUAGUUCAUUCUCAAGCUGCUGAAGCUCCUCUAUGUCUAAAUGUUCCAAAUUUUCCCCAUCAAGACGUCUAAGAACACGAAGUGAAAAUCCACAUAUAAGUAUUCAUUCCCAGUGAUUUUUCAUGUGAUCUAUCACUUAGGUACAUAUCAAUAAGGUGCAUAAUUAUGUGAAGAGUGUUCUAGUUUCAAAUUCUGUUGACAGAAUGCAUGUAUACAUGAGUCCUGGCUACAUCUAGAGUUCAAAUCUAUGAUCACUUUGGUAUCUUAAUCGAACUACCUCUGCGUGCGUUGUAGGACCUCUACUUUCGCUUUUAGGUUCUCAUAUUCUUCGUAUCUGCUCUGCUAGAUAACAUGAAAGCAGUUCUAUCAACAAUCAACAAGAGCAUAAAUAGGACUUGGUGUGUGGAGGAAAAUUUCAUUACCAACAUACAGCUAACAGAGAUAGCUAGAGAGGUUUUGUAUUUGUUAAGUAAGAAGAAGAUUUGGAAAAUAGGCAAGUGCUAAUUCGUAUAACCUAGCUAGCUAAUUAACCUGUGUAUCCUGAGCAGGUUGAGCAGCUUCCAGUUCUGCAUAAGUGUAUCUUUGAUAUUUCUCAAUUGUCUUCUCCAUGCUGAUAAUGAAAUUGGACAGAAAAUUAAACCACCAACAAUUGCAAUUAGAAUGAGGGCAUGCAGGAAAGUAAAUUAAUUAAGGAACAAACGGGUUGUUCAAAUUAGGUUAAUAAUCCGUAAAGUUGACAUCCUUGUGCUUUGUUGUAAACCACCAACAAAUGCCCUCAUUCAAAUAAUUAAAUAUGAUUAUAGUCAUAGUGAUCUAACAAAGAAAUAAUGUUGGCAUUCUCUCAUUGUUCACUUACAAAUGAUGGAUACUAGUAAAUAAAUCAUGGGAGGUCAAUUUAAUUUACACAUAAUUAGUUCGUGUAUAACAAAUUAAAAGCUACUAAUUUUGAUCAAGUUCUAAAUUCAAAUCCAAAAUUAACUAGAUUUGCAACAAGGAUUACUCGAUCUACACCCAAUUAAGUUAAACCACACUAGUUACCCCAUAUAUCAAAGAGGAUGUACAGUAAAUCAUUUGUAACAUAUGAUUUGAACGCUUGCAAGUGCCAUGCCAGUAUACAAAAAAGUACCUGAAUAGCCUGACAACCCUCACAAGUCACAAGUCACAACAGAAGUACUAUAGCUAACUGUAUAUAGAUACUUGUUUUUGCAGUAAGUUAGCAAGCUAGGAGUCAAAAACUUGCAUAUAUAUAAUUAUAUAUGAUGAGUUUAUUUAUUUUACUAAUUAUAUUUCUAGUUUUCUACAUGGGUGUGUAGUAUAUAUGUAUCUACCACUGGACUGAUCUCACAUCAGGUCAAAAGAAAAGAGAGAUUAACGUAGCUCCUUCAGAAGAAAUGAUCAUAAUUAAGCUUAAUGUAUAGGGUGACCAAAUCGAUCAAAAUCCAUUUCCCUAAACAAAUGUGCUGAAUUUCUUCUUGGGUACAGCAACUGAGCAAAGGAAAUUGAAACUCCUCACCUAUGACUCAUAGUAGGCUCAUACAUAUAUUUCUCAUGUAAAAUGAAAAAUGAAAAACCCAUCUCCAAAAUCAAAAGCAAACGAUCGAUUUCCCUAUUACAAUAAUAGACCACCCUUAAUCCUGAAGAGCUAGCAAGAUUAAUAUUAAUCCUCAGAUGUAAGUAUGUACUUAUAUAGAUUAAACUAUUAGGGGGGAGGACAGCAGAUCGAUGUGAAGCUGUAAAUACUGGUACCUGGGGCCGCUGCAGAACUCAUAGAGCUUGCCACGGCUGGAGAAGAUGAUGAGAGCAACCUCUGCAUCACAGAGAAUGGAGAGCUCACACGCCUUCUUCAGCAACCCGUUCCUUCUCUUGGCAAAUGUUACUUGCCGAUUUAUCUUGUUCUCGAUCCUCUUCAGCUCCACCUUCCCUCUUCCCAUUUCGACGAUGAUCAACAGCUACUGCUUUAGCUAGCUUCUAAUAUUUUAUUAUCUAUAAUAUACUAUUUGACAUGGUACUAGGUUUUAGUUUUCGCUUAAUAUAUUCUUCUUCUCUGAGGGUUAAGAUAAUAAAGAGCAGAAUAAGACGUUAGAAUUAUACGUACGUACGGUCUUCACCGGAAAAUCUACGGUCUUAUGCUGGGCACGUUAUCAACAAUUUACAAUAUCUGACGAUUCUAAACUCUGAAAGCGUAUUAUACAGGUCCAUCAUACAGCUCCCGGCCAGUUUUCUCUUCCGGUUCAAUACUGACGAAGAUUGGUCACUUUUGUCUCUCCUUUUCAGUCUCUUUAUUAAAACGAGAAUCAUUAUUGUCUGCAGCUGCUUAUUACUACAAAUAUGACAGCUAGCGGUGUCAACUCCGACUGCACAUUCCCAGCUUUAGGGUUUUUACGUGUCGAUCAGACAUAGCAUUGGGGAAGCUCGGGACCUUGGUGCAUGUACUUUUGUGUAUCCAGACGAUUUUGCCCCUGCGUUUACAGUUCAAGCACGCCUGCAGACUGCAGUUCAACAAUUGUUCCCCUUACAAAAGAGAGUAGAAGCAUAUAUGCUUUUCCAAUCUUUUAGUUGGUUGUGUUUCUUUUGGUGGGUACGUGUUGAGUCUUGGCGAGAAUGAGGAGGAUAAUAUCCUGGACGAAAUUGGUGAAUAAAUCUCGUUGCUCCGGUGAGUAAACGUACGAUUUUACCUUAGGUAAACCAUGUAGGACAAAUCAAUGUUGUUGUAUAGUAGUGCAGUGAAAAACAAUGGGAUAGACCAUCAAUGUGGUACUAAUUUAAUUACUUGUCCUCGAUCGACGAUGUGGGUUUCAUCCUAAAAACCUCCAUGUAAGAAACAGGGUAUCUGUUUAUAGUCCUAUAUUGCAACUAAUGGGAUCUCCAAUUAUCAAAUGGAAACUGAGACGGAGUUUACGUACCCUGCUGCUUCUGGAAAAGUAGGCAAUGAUCAUUCACAUCCCAACUUCGUAGUAGUACACACUAGUAUGUAUACCUCUACGCAUAUACGUAUAAGUAUGGCAGUGUGUACGGACUUGUUAGGGUCGGGUAUUUGACCGCCGGUAAUACGCUUGUGAUGUGAUUGGUUGAUAGGUAAAGAAGCUUGCGUGUUGACGAGUCAAGACGCGAUUGAGGAGGAUACGCUGGCUACGUGUCGAUUGCUAACCGCUUCGAACAGUGGCUCGUUAUGAUUGGGCCUAGGCCCAAAACAAAAGCCCGAAAAUUGAAAGGUUUUCGUUCUUCUUGCCCUACUUCCUCUCAUGCAUAAUUGACGCAUGAUAUGGAGUUAUGGUCUUAUGGACGAUUCGAUCUUUUUUCUUUCAUUUUGGGAGCAAAUUUUAUGAGCCAUGUUAACCUCAAUGAUGAGAUUGAUCAGGUUAGUGUUCUUGUGUUUUUUUUUUUUUUUUAAUGUUUCUGGUUGGGCGUUUUCACCUAGUUAGAAUGUGCAACAAAGCCGCUCCAUCAUAAUGUGUAGUGGCGGAGCUACUUGAAGACCGAAGGGAGACAAUUCAAUUUACUCGCAUGUUUAGUCGAUAAUUGACGGAUGUGAUGUGCUAAUUUUAACAUCAAAAGGAUGAGGUUUUGAAAAUUAUUGCAAUGUCUAUAUAUGAAGAAGAUGUGUUAUCGUUUUCACGGAAACACAUGAGGACCCAAAACAAGGAGGAGACCAGAGUUGUGUUCUCUUUUGGAACAUCUUUUGGAACAACACUGGAGCGAGCAAUGACUUCCAUGCAGCUUGAAAAAACAGGAAUGCGAUAUAUAGCUACCAAAGAAUUUUCUGUGAUAGCUAAAGGAUCGAGCACUAUAAGUGUAGCUAAUAUAGCCACGUCUAAUGUAGCCACUACAAAUACUUUGAUUGGUUCGAUUCCAGACAAAGAAUGAGAGAACUCAAAAGAUAAAUGUUCCCAAUUUCUCAUUGAUCAUAUUAUAAGAUAAAUGUUCAUUCCUCUGCAGUAGGAUUCAAGUUGUUAUUAUUAGGAUUGGAAAAAAUGCAUGCAUGUAUAUCCACUCUUAUCUUAUCUAGAUCGCAUUUUUGCUUCUCUUUAGCGGAGAAUAUAUAGCUGGUAAGCUAGCCCAGAGAUCAUUGAUUGAGAACACAUACUCCCUACCCAGAUUUAUACUCGAGGACUGAGGAUAUUGCUUGCCAGCAAUUUGGUACACUCAUUUAGAUCGACAUUGUGGCCUAUAUAUAUAUUGGGUGAGAGUUGAGACUUGGCUAGGGGACAUCUUAGAGGUCCUGGUCCAUACUGUCUUUGCAAUCACAAAAGAAGUUGGGGCCGUUGUUCCCCCAGUCUCAUAGGCUGAGCCGCGGAGGGGGUUAUCUUCAUAUUCUUAACAUCGAGAGCCUACACAGAAUUAGGGUUCUUCAAUUUGGUGCAUGCAUAUACUUAACACAGUUCACAUCUACUGUUGAUCUUAUUGUAUGUUGUACCAAUAAAUUUCCAACCAAUUAAUCCGAUUUAUUGUCACCGAUCAAUAAUGAAGAGAUCAUCAAAGGAUUCAUGAAUCCGACCAUCGAAGAUGAUUAUGAUCGAUCGAAUGGAGCCGGAGGCAUCAGUACGUUGUUAAUUAACAAAACUGAACACAAUAUCGAUCGAAUUUGUUUACAGAAACACUUACAAAGAGAAUCUGUAGGACCAAUUACAUAUUAAUCAUUAUCGAAGGUUUAUCAUUAAGAUAGAGGAAAUAUCUGAUGAUGCGACUAACGUUCACCAUUCGACAAUCCCAGAUCGGCAGAAGUUUAUAUACAUGCAUUAGCUAGAUCGGAAAGACAUGGACGAAAUUAACAAAAUAGUUGUACUGAAAAGGGCAAGUGGAGAGAUGGGACUGAUGGGAAAACGAAGACCAUGGAAGGUAACUUUAGGAAUGCAUGGUGCACAACGAAAGAAAGCUACUGAACAUGUUGAAGAUAAAUCUAACAUGAUUGUACAGGAUUAGCUAAGAGACUAAAUAUGCAGACGCAGCAAUCCUUUGGCAAAAUGUGAGUGAGUGGCGACAAGCAUAUAGGCAUGUUUAUCGUUUCAGACAUUUGAUGCAGCACCUUUGGAUCGUAAGUAGUGGACCUUAGAUAUGGGGCAGUAUAUGGAUUCAAGUUCGAUCAUCCGGAAAUUAAAUUGUCUGUGAUUUUGAUCCUUGUUGGCCUAAUUAACUAGGGCUUGUUUUGGCAAAUAAUGAUUGAUAUAUAGCUAGGGAAUGAUUAAUAGCUGCAUCAAGGUGAUGAACCUACGUCCAACAAGAUAAGAAAGAACAAGCUAGAGGAGUUCAUUAUCCUUUUGAUUCAUUGGGGUAAUGAUUUAUAGCCAUUGCCUUAUACUUUUGCGACCAUUGGUUUUAAUAGGGUAAACACCCUCGGGCAAGUUCUGUCAUGGUGCCUAUCAGAUAAUGCUCCUUUUUUCUUCCUUCUGGCUAAUACAUGCAUAUUAUUGAACUGAGUCUUGUUACAUGGAUAAUUAAACAAGCGUUCAUUACUAACGAAGAACUAAUAUCGCCUUUUCCUAAUUCAUUUCGGCUUAAACCAACGGCAAACCGCAAACCAUUGCCCUAUUUCUGCUACACAUCAAGAUCAUCUUAGGAAUGUUGAAAAUCUUCUUCGGUAAUGAAUAAAUCGCAGUUGGUCGUAAAUGAUGGAUACUGACAUCAUGCUCAUGAACAGUCUAAGCCUUCAACAUACGAGUGUUCACAACCAAACGCACGUACGUACUGCUGGGUACCCCCAAACAGGCAAACAUCAAGGAAUGGGGGAUUGCCGUUGUGCGGUGUUUUUAUGGGCCAAGUCAUAGACUAAAACCGAAGGAGUUCAAAAGGAGAAAAAGAAAAAUAUAUGAAAGCUGCUCAUGUCUAGCUCUUUACGUAUCAAAAGGCUACUCCACAAUCCUACUUUUCUCAUUUGUGGGACUUUGACAAUAGAUUACACGCCACAAUGCAUUUUCCUUGUGUUUUUGCUUAUUUGCUUUAGUUUCUUUGGAUUAAUUGUAGACUUCAACGUAAUUAGAGUAGUCUCCGGACUUCUCUAAGCUUGACCUAGUAUGGUCGUUUUGAUUAAUAUCAAUGGAGUAAUUCCGUUAAACGUCAUACCAAAAAAAAAAAAAACAACACUUGUUCGUGUUCUAAUGUCGUACGAUGAACACAUUUUCCAAGUGCAUGAAACAGGUUUAGGAGUCUUUAUCAUUAUGAUGCAACUAAGUUAUUUCUGAGUUCUGCACUAUGACAUAUAUGCAACAAAGCCCUUGACUCUUUAGAGCUUUGAUCGUGACAGUUCAGUUCAUUCAUAUAUCGAAUCUGAUCACUAAGCUUGCUGUAUAUGAUGUCGACUUGUAGCAUGCAGUAAAACCAUAUAUCCUCUAAUCUGAUCAUCCUAUUUGUGGUUGAUCCUUGAGAUAAAAGUAAAAUUCCCUCCCAAAAGGAGGAGGCAUGGCAGAUAUUACUGGGCCAUAUCCAAUCCAAGCAAGCCAGUCAGAAAUCACUUGGCUAGAAUAUACCUUUCAUUUUAGGUUUUCAAAUUUAUUUUUUAUUGAGGAGUGACUUCAAAGUUUAUUUAGGUGGGAUAGCAUCCAACAAAUGCAUCCAACAAAUUAUCCAGAUCCAUGAUGAUAUCUCGUGGUAAAAGUCAGCAAGCAGUACAUGCCCACAGCCCCAUAGCCAGCACCCCACUUGAGAUAGCUGAUUCCCACCUUCAAUUAAUUCUUCAAGCACUAGAAGCCCUAGAAUCCAAGGCAUCACAGCUCCUUUCUCUUCCCCACCACCAUUUUCAUCUCAAUCAACCUCUACCUAGCUCUGGUGUAAUUUCACAUUUAGUUUGGCAAGAUAUAACUAACUAACUGUGAAGGAUUUGUAUAUAUAGAUACAGCUUAUGUGUAUAUCCAUAAAGCCAUAAAGCUUUGUUUCCCUUGUAGUAUCAGUAGCACCCCACUCAUCUUUUCUAUCACUAGUAAAGCACAUAUAUCCACAUCAAAGUAAAUUGUGACUCUUCCAUGGCAAAAAACCUUCAUGAUAUUUGAUUAUUUUAAAGCAAAGUUCCCACUACUCACAAUCAUUUCAAAGUUCAAACCCAUCAAUCUCUCCACAAUCUCACAAAACCCUCCUUUUAUGCUCUAUCCAUCUCUCCCAUAAAAACCCUUCAUCCCCAGUGAGACAUUUACUUCAUUUCAAGGUCAUUGUUGAAGCAUGUCAUCUAUUGCAGGAGUUGCAGACCCAGCUGAGAAAGCACACAAGAAAUCCUUCCACCGGAGGAACGACUCAGGCGAGCUGGACGUGUUCGAAGCAGCACGGUACUUCUCCGGCUACAACGAAGCUGCUGCUCCGACGAUGAUGAAAGAAGAUAGAUCGUCAUGGAGAGGAGGCAGAAUUAGUCUUGAUAUGCCAAUCCGAAACGUGUUGGAUCAUCAGCUUCUUCAUCAUCAUCAUCACCAUGCGGUGGAUCAGAAACAGAAUAUGAAAGAAAAGAUCAAGUACAAGCAGCCGAGCUCUCCAGGUGGGAGACUAGCUAGCUUCUUGAAUUCGCUUUUCAACCAAUCUAGCUCCAAGAAGAAGAAACCAAAAUCCUCGCAGUCUAUGAAAGAUGAGGAGGAGAGUCCAGGUGGAAGGAGAAGAAGAAGAAGCAGCAUUAGCCAUUUCCGAAGCGCGAGCAGUACUACUACUACUACUACUGAUGCCAAGUCCAUAUACUCAUCUUCAAGCUCUGGCUUCAGAACACCUCCUCCUUACAGUGCACAAAUCGCAACCGCCAAGAGCCACAAAGAUUGGAAAAUAAGUCACUCAGAUCACAAGCCAGUGGUGUCCAAUUUGUCCAAACAUGAUGUUAUGUCACAUGCAAAAUCUUCAGUCUCGGAUGAGAAAGUUUCAUCAAACAGAGAGUUAAACUGGUUGGACGAGAAGUUAAAAUACAAUAACCGGCUGUCGUUGUCAGAAAAAUACAAGAGUUCAACAGAUCAGGAUCACAACAAAGGAUUGUUGAAGAGGCUGAGUGAGGUGGUUGAUGUUGAUGAUGACGAUGGUGCAGAAAGUGAUUCGAGCUCCGAUCUUUUCGAGUUGCAGAACUAUGACUUGGGAGGAUACUACUCGAGCGGUUUGCCUGUGUAUGAAACUACCAACGUGGAUAGCAUCAAGAAUAUCAGAGGAACCCCGAUUGCAAAUGCCUCAUAGUAACAUAUAUUUUUAGUACUGUGUAUUAUUUCAUUUUUAUGGGAGAUGAUCAUAUAAAUUUAUGUUAGAUGCAUGCAUGGAUGUGGUCGACAUGGAAGUGAAUUUUGCUUCUUUUUUCUCUUUCUCUUUCAUCUUCUAGGAAAGUUCUAGCGGUGCUUUUCUCUGUAUAUACAGUUGGGAAUGUUUGUUUGUCUUUUGUUUUUGUUUUUACUAGUAGUUAGUUUGGAGCUAUAUAAUCAGGAUUUCCAGUACUAGAACACCAGUUUGGUGGAUUGGCUUGAUUGAUAGGCAUGAAUUCCCUUGGUAUGAUCCCUGAAACUUGCACUGAAUUAUACUUUUUCUGGAGAAGUAUGGCAUGCACGAUCAUCAUAUCAUAUCAUGUGACCUGCAAUGUGUUUUACUUUUCCGAUCAUGAGUUUGGACAUAAUCAUGUCGAUCAAUUUUUCCAUUAAACAUGUGUGUUUAUCGUAAACUUCAUUUCUUGGAAUUUCAUCUACCAUCAUGUAUUAGAGUGAUAUUCCUUUGCAAUGUGUGUUCUUUUUUCAUUUCUUUUGAAAUAAAGGGGGGGGGGGUAGCUAGAGAGCAGUUGUGCUCUUCUAUCUUCAUUUUCAUCGGAAAAAAUAAAUAAAAAUCUCCUUAUCUGUAAUUAUAAAAGACAGGUUGUCGGUGAGCUGUGACUUGGUUAGUUAAGGUGUUUAACUGAUAAUUUUGAGGUCACGAGUUCAAACUUCACUGACAUAUGUAGGGUGUGUGAGUUAUUAAUAAAAUAUUUAAAAAAAAAAACAGAAUUAAAAGAAAGGCCAAAAAUGGUUCUUAGUUCUUACCAUCCUUAAUUCUUUUAUGUGAUAGUGUCGGCACAAUUCCAAUAAUCAAAUUCGGCCAUCUUGGAAACAAUGGUCUGCUACUCUGCUUGUUGAUCUGCACAAUGCCAAAAUCUUAAAAUUAAUCAAUUAAAAACAAAACCGAAAUUUAGUUGACGUAGUUAAAAGAAGCUCAACUAUUGUUCUGGUCACUAAGUACAUUGCGUGGUAGCUCAAAAGAGCAAAAGUUCGAUCACAAAUGAGUGAAGCUUUCUGCAAUUGGCUAAUGUUUUGCCGAUAUAAUCUUUGUAGAGAAAACGGUUCAAUCACAUAAAUCCAAAUGAGUGAAGCUAAGUAGGGUUUCUUAUUCGGGUCUCCACUCUAGAUCUGCCAUAUACAUAUAACAUAAAAUAGGUUAUGGCUUCUGUAGUGGGGAGCAGACAGGUAAGUGUUUAUAGUGGGGUGUACAAAUAUAUGCAAGGGAUUUAUAUUCCUUUUGGUCUGAAUAUGCAGGGGAUGCAUGACAUGGUAAUCUGCUUUGGUUCCAUAUGAUGCAUGGGAAAAGCAUAAAAGUUUAAGCUCCCAACCUCAAAAUAGUUAAGCCAUUGAUCAUGAUAUUAAACAUAAACUCUGUACGUCUAAUCAAAACGAUCUAGAACAAAAAGGUGAUCCAGCAUUAUUCCAGUACUUUGAUUACUAUUAGAAACAAUCUCUCUAGAUUCUACACAAAGCCAAACUAAUCAGUUACUCUUGGCAAAUUGAGCACAUAGAUGGUAGCCUGAUAUGACAAACUAGCAACUUGAUCUCCUAACUCUGGAAACCAUGAAUCAAGACUAUUCGGGCCAGCAACAAAAAAAAGGUAGUUUCCCUGUAUUCUUUUGGGAAUGAUGCAAACCAUCCACAAAAUUGAAAGCCCCAAAUGGCAAAAAUUGUUCACAAACAUGUAAGCUCAGCCAUAGAGGUGGUGAAAAUGAUAUCAAGUUAGGUGAGCUAUCCUUGUCGCUAUUGGAAUGACUGGUUUCUAUCAUCAAUCUUACACUAGGAACAAACUGGUGUGGUCUGAAAAUUGGCCUCUAACAGACUCAAUUGAUUGAUGUGGCUGCAGUUCCUAACACAAGGAAUUGAACCACACCAAAUUGCCACUUCUGAAAGCUGCAUCAGUUACUUGUAUGUAUGAGACGCUGCUACGCAUACAGAAAAAGGAAGUAUACAACUAGGACUGGAAUGUCAACAAUCAUGAAUCGUGAUCCUUUUGGUUUUGGAUAUCCUAUUGAAACUGAGCAAUGAUGCAAACAAACACAGGAAUGGAUUUAAGUUCUGUAACUACCAAUAUUGGUGGUAUUGGGGGUCCAAGUUAACUUAUCACUAAUCGAUGUUGAUGAUAUUGAUUACUAAGGUUUAACCCCACACGUCCUGAAACUGUAACUCAAAGAGAAAGAAAUGACCUGCUUUUCUCUGUGCAAAACAUAUAUGAUCUCCUAUUCUCCUUCCUUUUAUAAAAAGUAUCUGCAAAGUGAGAUCACUAGCUCCCGUUAACCCUCUUUUCACUAUAAUGGCACUAUCCCAAUUAUCAAAUCCACCCUGGUUCAACCUGUUCAACAUAUCACAUGAUUCACAUCUGAUAAAGCUAUCCCAUCACAUUUACUAGUCCCUUUGCUACUUGUGCUUCUAACAAAAUGGAGACUCUACUUAGGUAACUAACUACGUAUAGAUAGAUAAGCAUUCUCCCUUCGCGGGUAAGUUGGCGAUGAGUGUAACUUUGAUACAAUGUUAGACAAUGAAUCAGUAAGGAGCUAGCAUUAUUGUAUGUCAACUUGUCAAGCUAUUUCAACAUAAAGCAAACUAGGUAGUACUUCUUAAUUAUUCAGCCGCAAGAAAACCAAGCACAGAACCAGACUAAUGAAAAUGGGCAGGAACAACGUAUGCACACCCGAUCAAGCAUAACACCAACCAUUAUCUCUGUCAAAUAAACCCUAACACCAACUAAAAAAAUCUCGAGUGGAAAGAUGAAUGUGCAUAUAUACCUUUAGGAGUUCUCGAUCAACUUUGUGUUCAUCUGCCAUAACUUCUGGUAAACGAAAGCAGAGACAACAACCUUCUUUGAUUUAUUCCAACAUGUGGGAGGUCCUAGCUCUAUGGUUCCCAUCGCACCAGAGCCAACCAUCUAUGUCUUUGAUCUAAAUGUAACCACAUUUUUGAACCAGAUCAUAAGGAUCAAACAAGUUUUAUAGUUGAUCCACAUUUGGGGAACAAGAGCAGGAAUCUGACCCCCUCCCACUCCCAGGGGUGAAACUUAUUGUGAUCGACUUGUGACUCGGACAUGGCAACUGCAAAUUAAAAUUCAUAAUCAGGUAUGAUAUUAUGAUCAAUGAAAACCAAGUAUAACCGGAAUAUGAAUCAGUAACACACUCAUUGGGAGAGGAUUUAAAAGAAGGAUUCAUGUAGUGAUAGAGACUUGAAAUUAAAUAAACAUGGUCAGGUUAGAACUUAGAAAUAAGAUCAAACACCUGGGAUAGUAACUACUGGGUCAUCAAUAGUUCAAUACAACAGGCGCAUCAAAUAAACAACAUAAGCAAAUUGGGUUAAUGGGUUUUUACCUGACUAGAUACUGAUCAGUAAUUAAACCACCAUUUUGAUGAGUGAAUUUCAACACCAAACUCAUUAAGUAAUCAUGGUAUCUGAUUACGGCUGAUUAGGGUUAGGGUUGCUGGUGUGGGAUUUGAUGUCAUUUCUUGUUUCUUUUUCCUGGUUGGCGUAGUUGUUCGCUUUCUGCUGUUGUUGGGCUGUUUUUUGAGCUUGGGCCGGUGUGUGGAUUAUUGGCCUAUACGACUGAUUCAUCUUUUAAGGUGGAAAGUCAUUUUAUUGUAAGAAAAUACUUAUAUCCGGACUAGUAUUUUUUUAAAUUUUCUUUACAUACUCGAUUUAUUUACGCAUAUGUAUUCGUGCAUAUCCGAGAGCCUAAAUUCACAUAUACAUGCCUUUGUAGAGUGAUAACAAAAUGAAGAAUGCUUCUCAAAUGCGAGGUUUGAUUGCAGUACCUGAAAAAAAUAGAUGCAUGAAACCCUCAUUGAUUCCUUUGUAAAUAGGGUUUUUGAACGGUACGUCGGUUCGAGAGAUUGAAAAGGUUGCUUUUAUUCCUUGUUAUGUACCUUCAUUUGAGCUUCUUGCUGUUCCAUUCUUUCACAUAGAGUGGGGGAUCAGGCAGCUCGGUUCCGGUGGCGCAUGACAUUUAUCUUCGAUUCAUAAUUUCAUAUUAUUGGUUUAGAAUUGAAUGUUGAUAAAAUUGGAGGAAGAUAGAAGUUGAGAAAAACGUACACAACGUAAUAUACCAAUAUACCAUAUGAUCGAGCACCUUCAUAAUGGAAUGGUUGUCAUCUUAUGUGCUUGAUCUGUGUUGGCUGGCACUCUCUUUGUUACGGGCAGGGAUGAGUGGCCAUCGAGUAAGAAAUCAUUUGAUUGUAAAGCCUGCAACAAUAUUAUUCUCAAAUCUUGCUUUGGAUUUGGAGAUCUGGUUAUAUAGGCCCAUAAAUCAAUUAUGCAUGAUAGCAUGAUCACAGUGUUCACUUCCUGUUAGUGAGCUUGUCUCUAUGCUCUCACUAAGUAAAGACUAAAGACGAAAGUUAUUGUUGUAUUCCAACACAAUGCUGACAAGCACAUCACAACUUCCGCUUUAGUUUCUCCUUCCUCAAUCCAAUUAUUCAUCACAUCUUGUUUAUGCUUUAAAUAUCACGACGAAGAGGAACUAUAUCAGACACAUAGAAUACGCGCGCACACACAUAUAUCACAUAUUCAAAAUGUUUAAUAUUUCUCGGUAACACACUUGAUAAAUUCAUAAGUUAUUAUCGAAAUUACGAUAUACAAUAGAAAACAAGACUUAACUUUCGGUGUCCUCUAUUCUUCCAAACCUUAAUUAUUCACACUUCAUAUGUGUGUUGACAGCUACCUAUUGAUGGGUGCAUAUCCUUGUGGCUUGUGGUGUGUGAAAAGCUCAGUGAACGGAAAUGUCAGUACCCAUCAAUCGUAGCUAGCUAGCAAUUUUGGCUCCAUCCAUCCAUCAACAGGCAACAGGUGGCAUUGGCAUGGCACUCCCUGCCGGAGCACAACCAUCGCUUCCCAUUGUCCAGUUUUUGCAGACGACUCCAGGGGAUACGUGUCGCUCGACCCACCAAACACAAGUGGCAAUCUGGGUUUGCCUGGGUUCUUCUUCUCUUGUCGUACGUUCACUGGUUCUCUCUCCCACAGGCCACAGUAGGAAGUUUGGAACUUGGAUGCUAGCUAGCAGUGGUUUGAAUUCAAAAGAAAACCAGGUGACAGAGAAGAGGGUUGUAUCUGUAAAUCUUAAACAUCCAUGAGUGGAAGGCAUAUUUUGCUCCGAUUCUUAAGACCACUAAUUAAGAUGUGUCCCAACCUCUGCAUACAAAUAACUUGUCGAAAAGACAUUUGCAUACAAAUAGCAAGGCAUGUCUUGCUUCACAAACUCGUACAUGGAAUAAAAUGGAAUGAAAAAGGCUACAUCAAGCAAGUAUGACUAUUAUUAUAUCUAAAUUAGUAUCAAAGAGGGAGAUUAUAUUCAAAGGUUAACACAUCUUUUUUUGCUAUUAACGCACAUUAUUUAUUUUCUCAUCCACACAUUUUAAUUUUAUUUAAAACCUUGUUAUUUAAAAUUAUUUUAUAAUUGACUAUCAUCAUAGACGAAGUGUGUUAAAUAAAAAAAAAAAACGUUAUAAUUGAUUAUAUUUAAUACGACAUUGUGUUUGUAUAUUAUUUAGACAAAUUCAUGAUAUGAUCAUUAUCGAAAAACAUGUUACCUAUGUAACGUCUUUUACGUGUAAAGGGUAUUUUCAGCAUUGAUAAGUCGGUCUACAAUUCAACCUAAUACUGGAUGGGUGUACGUACAAUUUUGGAAAGUGAUUGAAUGUAAAUGAUGAUUAUAACACAAGAGUAAUUACAGCAAAAGUACCCAAGGGUGAUUGAUGGUGACAAAUCAGGUAACUGAGACUUUUACCUUUCUAAAUUCAACUCAUUUGUUUAGGGAAAAGUGGAAAACCGAUGAAAGCGAGAGCCCUCCAAUCUACUUUGUCUCUGUAAUAAGAUGCAGAACAGGUGUCCAGAAAUGUAAAUGCGACUCUGCCAUCUCAAAAGCUACAACACAAAGACCUCAACUUGCAGAGUCGUCGUGGGGUGUGUGGAAAAAUCUUCCCGACUUGUUCAUCACUCUCUGUGUCUGCUUCGACCUCCUCAAAAAAAAAAAAAAGUUUCAGUCUUUCUUCUUCAUUAUCAUCAAGUCACUCUCGAGCUCUUUCUUCCUCAGCGAGCUGUCGUUUUCCAUUGGGAGUUACUGGGUCUCUUGGUUCCCGAGAAAACUAGCAAGAGAGAAUUGGGUAUGUUUUUUAACCACCUACUUCGCUCCAUAACUGGUCAAUGGCCAUUUUUGCUCGUUGUUUUUAUGGGUAUUCGUUUGUCUUUGCUUCUUUUAAAGAUUUGAUCUUUAUCUGCUUCUUCUUCUUUGAGCUUUCAAAUACAUUUCAAUCUCUUUUAUGGAAGCUUUGAGUGUUGAAGUCAGUGGAAUAAGUGCUUCUGUUAUCUGGGUAUAUGUUAGUUUAAGCUUUGAAUCUUUCUUUGUACAAACUAUUCUCUAUAAUGUUUAUGGGUGAUGAGCUUUUAUUGCAAAGGCUCUGUUUGGUUUGGUGAGGAAAACAAAGGCUAUGUAUUACCCUUUGGUCUUUGCUAGGGGAUCAAAGAACCAGAGAAAUACUAUUAGGCUUUGUUUCUCUUUUCUUUUUGUUUGGUCAUCAACCAGUGGUUUCUUGGGAUAUUUAGUCGUUGGAGCUCAAGUUCUAAUCUUUUUAUUAGAUGGGUUUGUUUCAUAUAUGAGUGUUGAUGAUAUUGCUUUUCUGUAGUCUCAUCAAUGGUUAUUGAUUUCGUACUCUUAUUCAUAUGUGUUUCUUGGCUUGCAUUAUUUUGGUUGCAUUUUCUGUUCCUUUGCAAAUUGAAACUUACUUUACUUUUGUGGUAUCUGGUAGGCAUAUGGAGCCUUGGAGUUUCGGUUCAGAAGGGAAAGGGUUUUUAUUUGCUGAUGAGAUGGAUAUACCAAUUGAUGCAUUUGCAAAAAGUACAAAAGCAUUUUUAGAAUGGGAUAACAAAACUUGCUUUAAUUUCGAUAAAGAAUCAGUUGAGAGCAUGGAGUUCAUGGAUUCGGGAUUGCCUGAUACAAUGAAGGAGCCUUUUCAUGGUAACCAGGUAGUGGAUAUCUUGAGUGGUGUCGGCUGUAAUGAUUCUAGUAACAAUACAGUAGCUUCUCCUACUUGUUUGAUGACUUCAAGUUCAUCAUGGGGUGACGGAGAAUCUGGCUCCAAAUUUUCUAGCCCAGUCUGUGAGUCUAGUAGCCAGGAUUCAUCACUAAUUGCUUUGAAGCUAGGGAGGUUGGCUGAUAGCAAAUAUGGAAAGGAUAGUCAACAUCUGAAAGAGAGGUCAAAGAGAGCUCGCACGAAGGGUUCAUACUAUCAGACUAUCACCUGCCAGGUUCAUGGUUGUAACAUGGAUCUUAGCUCUUCAAAGGAGUACCAUAAGAGGCAUAGAGUUUGUGAUGCUCACUCAAAGACUGCGAUAGUUAUUGUAAAUGGCAUUGAACAGAGGUUUUGUCAGCAAUGUAGCAGGUUGGUGCUUCUUUUCUUGUCCCUAUACAUCUGCUAUGCCUUUGCUUUAAUUUUGAUUUUGUAUUAACUGCGUCUAAUUAUCAAAAGGUAGGAUUAAUUGCUAACCUUAUUCUAUAUCUAGAACGAAUCCAGAGUUAAGAGUUGUUAAUUUUCCAAAUUAAGUGAGGUUUUUCUCCGUUGACUUGUGAGGAACAAAAAUGGAACGAAAGAAAAGUGAAAUGCUAAGAGGCAUCUCAUGUACAUGAAGUGAAGAAAGCCACAAAAGUGCUUCUAUGUGCAUCUGCAUUUUCACACGCCCCUCAAAGAAAGUUAUUUUGCAGAUUCAGCACUUGACUUAAAUAUUUUCUCCUAGGAUUUGGCACAGAUUAGGAUCUCAUAUGCAUGGUGAGAAAUGAUAAUCUCCAUGGUUUGUGAUAUUUUACCUCAUAUUUUAAAAUAUUCAUUAGUUUCCUUGUUUUUGUUUAUUUUUCUAUGGCUUAGUAGUAGUCGAAUAAAGUUCAAGUCAAUUUGGACAGUGAUAUUCUUUUCUGCUUCUUAUUUGAAUCUCUUUGACCUUAAUUCCUGUUUGACUUUUUGUUAAGUAACAUUCUUAAAUUAGGUUUUGACUUUGAUAUUCUGUUACUUUAACAUCUGAUGAUGAAUAUAAAUCUAAUGAACGUCCAUUUCUACUUCUCAUCUCCAUAUAGAUUUGAGGAUCUAUACACCCAAAGGUUUAGUAUACUGCCUCAAAUUUUUUCACUGGUAUGACCAAUUGAUAUCUUUUUGGUUAUUAGGUUUCAUCUGCUGGCUGAAUUCGAUGAUGUUAAGCGUAGUUGUCGUAGACGCUUAGCUGGCCACAAUCAACGCCGAAGGAAGCCUCAGCUAGAUACCUUUGAUUGUAAAUCGCAUAACUGGCUUCAGUCAUAUCAAGGUAUGAUAUGCCUCAUCCUCCUACUGAUAUAACAUUCUUGUUAGAACAAUUUCUGUAGUGAUUUCUCAAUGAGAGAGAUCAAAGAUACUAGAGGCAAGUGGGAUAAGUUUUUUAAGUUCGCAAAAUUCUAUGGCCAUAUACAUGCCGCAUAAAGUUUAUAAAGUUUGAUGGAACAGACCUUUAUGGCUAGGAUUUCCUGGUAAGAGCAUGAUAACUUUAUGCUAUUCUUCAGUCCCACUACAUUUGAAUCUUUUGACCAGGCUGUUUUUUGUCAUUUUCAAUAAGAAUUCCAUCCAUUAAAUUAAAGCUAAAAGAAGGCCACAUCAGCCAACAAUGGUGUUCCUUUUAGUUUUCUAUAAAGUUCAUUUUGGGAGCUUCUAAUGUAACAAUGAUUAAAAUGGUGCAAACAAUUUACCCCCUAUAGCAUUUGAGACCAGCAAAGAUAAUGUUGUGUAGGUGUAUACAAUUUGUCUGUCUAAUCAUACAUUUUCUUGGUUCAGGAAGAAGAUAAGCCUAUAUACCUUCAAAUUAAGAUAUAUGUGACCAUGUUAAAACAACUAAUAGUGAAUGUGCAUUUAAAAUUCAUUGAAGUAACUGUGGGGUAGCCAGGUAGGAUAACUUCAUGAGCUAUGAUAUUUACUGCUAGGUUUUGUAAGUGUUUGCAGGCAUUGGAUAUCUUGGAACUUCCUUGCCAAAGAGAACACCAUUUGUCUUUUCAGAUAUACUUCCAGGUGGCGUUCUAUAUCCAGAAGAAUCUAACCAGUAUGGACAUAUUAAAACUGAAGAUGAAUUAACUUACAGUCAAUGUGUGACACGCACAUCAAACAGGCAAUCAAUUCCAAACUCUUUCCUCCAUCUGCAUGGCCUCGCAAAGCAACAUGCUUCAGGAGUUCCUAUAUCAGGACAUGAAUACUCGGUUUUUGAUACAGCAUCAGAUGUUCAGAAAGAAUCUGGGGCGUCAACCUACCAGGGUGUUCUCUCUCUUCUGUCAUCUCAAUCACAGAGCUCAAUCCAUUCUGCAAGAAAUCAAGUGGCUACCCCUCUGCAAAUGCAGAGAACCCAUCAUGGUGCUGGUCAAAAUAAUGAAUGGCCUUCCACAGUAAAAGCCUUGGAAAAAUGUGGACGAAAUGGAUCCUUCCCAUGCAGGAUGAACUCCAUGGGAACUGACCAGAUGGAUUCGGUAAUGAUUUCUGAUUCUAGUCAUGCUGUUGACUUCCAACAUCGCACAGAUAGGGUCCAGGGGUCAGCUUGCUUCAGUCACAAGUAUCAUCUUUCUCCUGAAAAUGGACCAACUUUUGAUUUGCUCCAAUUGUCUUCACAUUUUCAAAGAGUGGAGCAAGAGAGAAACUUUUUGCAAGUCAAACAGGAACAGGGGGAUUUCUACUGUUUCCCGCAAUCUUAAGUAGCCUUUAAGAGGCAAUGUGAGUGUUUCCACUCAAAAAAUCUGUUCAUGUUCUUUUCUAUCAGAACUGUGUAGCACCUUUUUCAAAAUUUUCUUUAAUGGGCAUCCAAAAUCUAGAAUUGAAGUAAGGACAAUCAAAAUGUGUCUUGCAUACUUAGUCUACUUGAUGACAUUACAGAGAUGGAUGUUCCAGAUAUUAGAGAUGAAAUUAAAAAUAAAAAUAAAAACCAUGAAAUUACUGAUCUGUCUCCUCAUCUAUAUAACUUUAUAAAUGAUAUUCAUGAUUUGAUGCCCCUACAGCUUGUUGGAGGAAGUUUGGAUUCACUUGAUCAGGGACAUUCUACCUACAUUGGUGCAUUUCAGUGGAUGGUAGAAAACUUUUCUUUUUUUCAUAGAAGUAAACAGCGAAGAAGGCGUCUACUGUUCUUUAGACUUUAUACUGUAAGUUGCUUUAGACACCUUUGUUCUAUUUCUCUGCUUAGAUUAUGCUCAUGCAAGGAUUAUACAGUUGAACUAGGGUUGUUUUCCAACUGCGCAUGCUUUUUCGCAUAGAUAAUGUUGAAGGCACAAACCAUCAUGAAAAACAAAAGGAACGGAUCCUCCAAAUUUAGUCGGGUGAUUCUGUUAGAUAUGUUGAAGGAUAUUGUUUAGUUGAUAAAGUUUUGCUGAUGCAUGAUUGAAUGAAUGACUCAUAGUGGAUUUCCUUAGGCCUUGGAACUUGAUGACUUGGAGAAUGAUUAUUUUUAUGUCCACUAUAUUUAUAUAGAUUAUCCCACUCUCAUGGGAAAGGAAAGUUUACUAUCUUAGGAAAAUCGUAUAAGGUAUUCAUGUGAGCCUUAAUCAGUUUGCGAUCAAAGCAAAAAGUUGGAUACCUCAUCCACCUAUGAAAGUUGAAACCAGCAGCCAAUAGAAGGUAGCAAAUACUGGUGGCUACUUCGGUUUUAUAUGAUGCGAUGCGCUGUGGAAUAAUUCCAUUUCGAAACUUACAAAAUUGCAGCCAUCAGAUGCCAUUUGAAUAGAUGAAACCUGCUUAUUCUAUUCAUGUUACACUAAACAACUUGAACAUAAACAAAGAAAAGCCUUUGUGCGCACCAGCAUGGUUCAAAGCACCCAUUCAAUGUCAUUAGCAUCACCAGAAAAUAAAGGAGCAAGGAACAAGUCUCACCAAACCAAACGGGCAGAAGCCCUAUCCAUCACAAAGAGUAACCAAAAUUGUGAUGAGAACAAAAGCUAGAAAAUCAAAGGAAAUAGAAAAAACAAAACAACAACAAUAUUGCUGUGGCCCUCAUGUAAUUAGUCACACCAAGGGCUUGUUCACUUCCUCAUCUACUUCUAACCCUAUUUCAUUUGCUUUUGGGCUCAUCAUCAAUACGGCGUCUUUGAUAGACUUUGCAUGCUUGGCAAACUGGUUUUCUGGCACCAUCUUCAGCAUGAUUCCUGCGGCUAUGAGCAUUAGCCCUGUUCCAUGUUGUUCUGUCAAUGGCUUUGUAAAUAUCAUGUAUGACAGCAACAAUGUCACCGCCUUCCUAGCCGUUGUUAUCAUCGCAGUAGUGGCAGCUCCGAAAAGCGCAAUGAGGGAUAGCACAGAUACUUGUCCUACAUAUGUGGCCAUGGCUUCAAACACUAAGACCCCAUACACAUAAGGAUGCUCGGCGCAAGAAUUCCAGGCCUUAAACAGUUCUCCGGUGAGAAUCAUUGGUGGAAGCAGCAUUGGCAGCCCAACUACUGUUGAGCAGAACAACAUCUCUGUCUGUGUGGUGUCAGGGUUGAGUGUAAAGAUUGCUUCUUGCACAUUCCCCAUGAAGGCAUCCAUAAUCAGCGCGCCAGAUAUCAUCACCACACCCAAUAUGCUGAAAUUGGGGGAUGUAUUUGCAUCCCCUAAUGUGAAAAUGAUCAAACCAAUAACUAGGAGGAUUGCAGAUAUGUACUCAUGAAUUGGGUAUUUCCUUCUCAGACCAGGAAUAAAUGCCCCCAUUACCAUCACAGGCAGAACCUUAGUGGAUUUGAACAUAAUUUGUGCAGGAUAAUUGAGCCAAGCCAAGGAUCCCUUGGUCAAUCCAUGAGAACCCAUCAGAACAGCGGAGAGCUUCACGUAUGUUCUCCAUGGGUUCACCAUUUUCUUGGUGGUGAAACCUUGGAGGUAUAUGAAACCCAGGUACACAAAUCCUUGUACAAAGGUGAAGUACCAUCCAUAGCUGAAUUGGAGACGAUUGUAUACGUACUCCUCGCAAAUGCCAUUGACAAGGUAACCAAAGAAGAACCCUGAAGAACAAAUGAGGAAUUGUUGCCAAACCGGCCUAUCGGAGAGUGAUAUCCAAAAUAGAAACCUUGUUUGAUCCUCGUUCUUCAUCUCCUGAAAAUUGAUAAGACCCAACAAAGGCCAGCACUAUUAAAACCCGAAGACUGGGUUUUAAUUAGUGCUGCAAUGCCCUAGCUAGGGAUGCAAUGCUGCAAUUAAUUUCUAACUAAAAUUCAAUAAUGUUGAAUCAAAAAGGUUGGUUUUUGGGGAAGAAAAUUAUCUCGGAGGUAGAUUAUAUGUAAAGCUUUGGAAGCCCUUUUUUGACGAACAGCCAGUGAGAGUUUCUUGGGGAUUACUAAAUUAGAGAAUCAGAAGAAGAAGGAGCUCUCUCAGACAUGCACAUAACUAUAUGGCUCUUUUCUAUUAGGGGGAGGUGGAAAAUGGCAAUGAGGGUUUAAUGUGACGUAUUUAGGAAGUGACUUGAUUGUGAUUUUUUUUUUUAAUUAAUAAAAUUUAGCUUAUGUUUAAUACACUAUAUAUAUAUAGAGAGUAAAACGAAAAGAAGAAAAACAGUGUUAUAACACAGUAAAAUUAAGGAUCGUUUCAUGCAUAACCAACUAACCGAGUUACAGAAAUGGAAACAUAAUCAUUAAGUAAUACCACACAUUCUUAAUGCCAUGUUCAUCGAUCAUGAGUUCAUGACUAAGAAAUCAAACAAACUACAACGAUGGAGUUGAAAGUUCUAACUUGAAUCAUACAAGACCAACGUAAAACGAUUCGAUUACAUAUAAAUGCAUUAUAGCUAGAUCUAGAUAAUUAAGCUGAACCAGUAGUACUGCUACAUUGAUCCCUCUCCAGUUCUACGUCGCUCCUCCAUAAAUGCCUGUUCUGGUAGCCUAGCGUAAUAGAACGACCUACUACUCAGUCCUGCAAAAUCUGGGACCUUGUUACCAUCGAUACGUAUCUGAACUUUGAACGAGUAAUUAAAGUCGAACAGUGUCAAUUUCUUACCUUAAGUUUCUUACUGCUGCCAGAAGCUGUUGCAGCAGCUUCUCCUGAAGAGCUAGGGUACCUUGCCCACUGUAAUAUCGACAGCUAAAUAGUUAGGUUUACGUAAAAAGUACAUAUGAAAUCUAACCAGGUCUGCCAGAAAAGGCUAUGCAACCAUACGUGAACACUGAACCCUAAUUAACUGCAAAGGCUUAAAGCACCCUUACAUUUUUGGCAGCAGCACUAAAAGCUUCACGGUGUGGAAUCUCAGGGUUCGCUGCUUUGAUCCGCUGGAUCUCCUCCCUAUAUAACAAGCACGCACAAUACAAAACUAAGGUGCUUAGAAUGAUGUGAUAAUUAAGAAUGAUGUGAAAGACAAACGUAAUAAUUGGAUCCUCUCACUUCAUGAAGCGGUUGUAAGCAGAUGGAACCCUGUGUUUCUUCUCAGGUGCUGCAAGGUAAACAAAUGAACACUCAUAUUAUAAAUCCAGAUAAACACACCAAAAAGAAAUCUCAUUUCAUGUCAAAGUUCAAGUACGUAAUCAACUAGCUUAAAAAUGGUGAUCAGGCUUGCUACAUACGUUUACAAACAAAGGGUGCCUUUGGGGAUGAUGGACUUUCCAGAGAUGUGGGUGACGAUGAUGAGGAGGAAUGACCACCCCUUCUUGAAUCAGUGGAAUAGCUCUGCAAGAAUAUUGACCAUUUCAAUAUUCAAAUCAGUGCCACACCUCUAUCAAUUAGUUAUCAGCUAGUAUAGGAUAAGAUAUAGGGGAUAUAUUAUACUACCUAGGGUUUUCUUUCUUAUAUAUGCAGGAUAGACAGGUAUAUAUUUUGAAUUCAAGUAGAACUACAAAUAAGAUUUUAAGUACUAACCUGAUGAAGAGUCAAGGUAGUAGGGUAAUCAUUGAUCUGGCACUGAUGAGGUGCAGGUUGGAUCUGGAUUGGAUUAUUAGGUCUGGUGGUAAGAAAGGAGAGGUUGCUGCAAUGACCACAUUUCACCGUCACUGUGUCCAUCAUCCUCUUGAAUGGAAGCCCAACCUAUAGUACAGUUACAUAACAUGAACAUGAACAUUAACAAACCAACACAACACAGCGAGCAGAAGAAGAUCCAUCUGCUGUUUGAUCUAAAACAACAGACAUUUCUUAUAAGCAAGACCCUUUAAUCGAUCAGCUUACUGUUGUAAUAAGUCAGUAUUGUAGCUAGCUAGGUUUAACCAUAUAAGGGCAGCAUGAUUCUGAGAAAACUGACUUGUUGAUGGAGAUAUAGAGAUAUAUAGAGAGAGAAGAGGAUCGUGGUUUCUUCAAUUUAUGAGACAAUAGACCAGGGACAAAGCUAAAGUUGGAAAAUAUAUGUAUAUGCUUCUUCAUAUUAGUUGAUUGAGAACUCACAGCAAGAACGGUGUUGCAGAAGUUGCACCGAACGUAGCAAAGAUGCUCAGAUGGUUGAACCAAGUCCAUGGGGACCUUGUCUUCCAGGUUCAUCGUGAAAGAAUGCUAAAGCCACUCGAAGAUGAGAAGAAGAAGAUCGAGGUGGUUUUGCGAUCUCCUGGCCAAAGCUAUGUAAGUUUGGGGUAUGUGAUGAAUGAGAGGAGUGGUCGAGGGGGCUUAUUAUUAUAGUAGCUUGAAGUAGCAAAGCUGAAGCUAAGCGUCAAAAGGAAAAUCUAAAACAACUAUGUCUUUAGUCAUCAAUGAUAGUACAACUGGUUCAGCAGAGGUCCUCAUGACUUGCAUAAACUUUUGACCAAGAUCAAUCGACUAACCAUUUUCACGAGAAUAUAUUCUAUCAUAUUGCAUGCCAUCAUGCCAUGCCCUAGUCAUUUUAACCAUGGCAUGUGUGUUGAUUAGGGAUCAAUCGAAGAGCUCCUGUAAUCAAAAACAGAAAGAGAUUUUGGAUACCUGUACGUUUAAGUUGAUCAAGAUCACUCAAUUAGUAAUCAAAUCCGGUUUGCUUCUUUGUUUUUCCUUAAUUGAUCAUUCUAAAAAUCUAUCAGGUGAUUCUUUGCCAGACAAAAUGGACACUUCAGUGAAUGAAAAGAUAGUUAUCGGAUGAAUCAGCCUAAUAUAUAGAUAUUUCAUUAUCAUAGUCAUGAAACUUCUUCCAAACAUUUGAAGGAGCACAUUAACUUGUUAAACCAAUUGUCGUACCGACGAUAUAUGCAUCAUCCAUUUCUUUUUCAUCGUUUAGUGUUUAAAUCUUAGCCCGCAAGUACAGAGCUUAAGUUUCACUCCUCAUCUCUUGCGAUGAUAAAACUAAGAAAACGCUGAUAAUUGGCAUAUGAUACAUAAGCUAGCUAGUUUAUCUGUCAAGAUCUUUGUAGAAAGUCUGUAAUAACAUUAUUGAAUUUAUACAUAAAAGGAAGGUUUCACGUAUGAUUUCGCAUAGUUAUGUAUGAAUUAUGAUUGUAUCAUAACAUCACACUUCUCCAACUCAAGCUGAGGUUCAUAGUAAUUUUGUUUCAGAGAUAUUAUACAGAUUUGAAUUACAUAUAAUUCAAAAUAUCUUAUACAUGCACCAAACAACGAUAACAAUUCCACAGGAGAAAAAAAUACAGUUAUCAUCGGAUACAUGAUAUGUCCCAUCAAAAUUUACAAUAAGUACUAGAGAAACAAAUCAAAAAACAAUAUUUAGCCAAUUCGUGUGAUAUCCUAUUUGCUUUUAGGCAUCCUAGAGGACUCCAGGACAAUUCACAAAAGCAAAAGCUCGUUGGGAGAUCGAGUUUUGGUGUUUGGAUUUAUAUAUCUUUCUCAUGUGCAUGUGUAUAGUACGUGCUUUUGAAGCUUUGCAUGUAUACUUGGUUGUAAUUUUUUUUAUCCCAACCAAUAACUAGUAAAUUUCUCAUAUCACUAGCAAGUUAUGCCGAGUACAAAUGUUAUAUGAAAAGUUGCUUGGGCAAUUUGAGAAGGCCAUCAUGACGAUCAGCUUUGUGCUAAAUUUCUCUAGCUUUGUUUUAAAUAUCAAAAUACCAUGAAUGACAUUGGGGUUUGGAGCCAACUAGAAAUGAACCAGCUUGCCUAGAAUCGAAGGAACUGAAUGAGAUGAAUGAAUAGUAAAAAGUCGAGGUUGAACGAGCUAGCCAGGAGUGAAUGAAACUGAAUGAGAAAUUUCGAAAAGAUAUAUAGUAGUAUAGCUUAGUGCAUGGCAGUGAAGAUGGAAGAGAAAUAUAGGUCCUGUCCUCCCUUCCUUCUUUUGUGGGUGCAAUGCUAAACAUGGAAACCCGAAAGAGACACGACCUUAAAUCACAGGUCACUUCCCUCUCAAAGGGCCAAAGCCAGGACAUGGGUUAUGCUAGCUCUCAAUUAACUUUGGCGCCCUUUUUUGAGUUGAUGGGACGAUUCCAUCAGGUUUCCCAAACUAGAAAUAAAGACAUUUUCACCACUCCAAUCUCCACCUCCCCUUGUUCGUAUAACACCGUUCUCCCUAGGCAUGCCCUAAGUCCUCAGGCCGAUCGAUUGUGCAUGCAGACUAGUAUAUGUAGGCGUUAAUGGCUUUCAGCUUUCUUCUCUCUUUUGGAAUGGAUUGCAUUGGACGCUUUUGGUUUAGCUCCAUAUGCAUGCGCACCAGAUUCUCCCAUGUCUUCUGUGAACCUCACCAUACUUACCAGACCUGACCAGAAGAGACCAGACCGGACGAGCUAUCCAACCAUUUCACACCUCGGAUCCAGCUUGUGGUUCAGUUCCUUAACAUUUUGGGAACAAUCAUUGGGGCCAUACUCAUCUCCGGUUUGCAUCUGAAUCGGGAAAUUCAGAUUAGAUGAUACACGAUCGAUCAUCACCACCCCUUUAUAGGCUUCUGCAUCGUACUACCUACAUUUUAUCAUUUUGCUCUCUAGGUGGUUAGCUACAUAGGUUGUGAUUGUCCAACACUUCACGUCACGGUACGUAUACAACUUCAAUUAUUUGUAUAGUUAACUUGAUCAUUUUAACUCUACGUUUCUAUAGUUAACUUGUUCAUUUUAGCAUGGGUUCAAGGUUAUUCCCCUAUUUUCACCAUGGCAUUCAGUGCCCGCACUCUCUACACAUGUCAUUCCUAUCUCAUAUGUCACUUCAUAAAAGUUGUUCACAUAUUGGCCCAAAAUGCCGUAACAAUAAUAAAGGAACACGUCGAGAAUUCACAUUCACGUGAAAUUGAUGAAAAAUAUAUCGUUACAAACCUCUCAUAAGAGCAUCUCCAACAGUUUCUUCAAAAUUUCUCUAAAAUAGGAAAGCAAAAGCUAAAUUCUCCAAAAAAAUUAUGAUCAAAAUCCAGCAGCUUCUCCAUUUUAGAGAUUUCGGCAUUUAAUAUAACAAUAAAAUAUAAUAUAUCAUCAUGAAUUAUAACAAAAAAUAUUAUAUAUUUUAUUGUAACAAUAAACUACCCAAUCAAAUAUUUUAUUGUUGUUUUAAAUUAAUUGGAGUACGUGAAUAAUUUAAUUUUGGGGAAAGAAAGCUUUGCUGCAAAUUUGGGGAAUGAAGACUUCUUUUUCUUCUUCAUCCCUAUUUUGGGGAAUGAGAUGGGGAAACUGUUGGACCUAAAAACAGCUAUAUAUUCCCUAAAAUUGAGAAGUUCAAGAAAAUAGGGAAGCUGUUGGAGAUGCUCUAAGAACUGUAUUAUCAUAUUUCAUCAUCUCACUAUAUGUACAAUACAAAAACUAGUCAUCGCUUAAACAACUAGUCAACCUCACAAAAGUAGAUUAUGUCGUUAUAGCAUUUUUAGAAAUUCAUUUUAGACAUAAGGUUCUUAUUGAAGCAAAAUCCUACUUUCACUAUCACACAAUUGCAUGUUCAUUCUUGUCUACUUGCUAUAACUACUACAUGCAUGUUUACACAAGAAGAAUGGGAAGUGGUUUCCAACUUCCACACUCAUCUCCAUAUUUUGGAUAUGCUUGAUAGAACAAGAAAACAAAAAAACGAAAACAAAUAUAAUUUGAAUAUCAGGGCAGCCCAAAACAAGCUGGACUGGGCUCGUCAGUGAAAGCCAGAACAAAUUUUACAAAUAGUUACUGAAUCACAAGUGUCAACAAGGUCGUUGUAGUAUAGUAGUAAGUAUUCCCGCCUGUCACGCGGGUGACCCGGGUUCGAUCCCCGGCAACGGCGCUUUUUUUUCCACUUUCUUUUUCUCUCAGUUUUCAGCUCCUCUCUCACUCGCCUGUUACCCAAUUAACAUCACCAAUCAAAUCACACCUAUUUUCCUCUCACCAACCAACCAGAUCGCACAGUCACACACCCACCCCACAAACACAGGUAAUCUUAACAUCCAAUCCCGGGCCCACAAAACCCCGCUCCCCAUUUUCGUUUUCCCGCCACUCCCUCCCUCCAAUCUCACUCCUCCCAAAAACACUAGAAAACGUCAAAACUCGCCGCUAAAAAAUUUGACCGUCGUUUCUGGAGCCCAAGCUGAGAUUCUCGCCGGAAAAUGACGAACCCUAACGGCGCCGUCCAGGACAAACCAGACGACCUCGAAAUCACCUCCAUCGGUUCCCUCUACUCCGGCCCUUGGGACAAGAAGUACUGGAGCUCCUCUAGGGUUUGAUUUCGAUUUCCCUCAUUCUUGAUUUCAUCGAUUUCUUCUUCAAUUUGAUUAUGCUAGCUUUCUUCAGCUUGAUUCAAUUUUGCUUUAAUGAACGGUCCGGAUCGAAUUGAAUAGUUAGGUUGGUGAGAAUCGGAAAGUUUAAUUGAAUCGAAAUGAGUAAUUAGGUUAGAAAUUAGUUAAUUUUAUGUAUUUCAAGUCGGCUUAGGUAGGGUUUUGUCCUCACGCCCUAUCUGCCCAGACGAUGAGGAUUUUUUUUUAUUUUUUUAUUUUUUAUUUUUAUUUUUUUGGUAGUUCUGAUGUGUUUGACAAUUGAUUCAGUGAUGUAGUUUUCAAUUUGCUGAGUUAUGAUUGUUUUUUUUUUUUUUUUUUUGUAGGGGAAAGAUCGAUAUCCAUAUCCGAUAGGGUAUGGAGCUGUUCGAGCUCACAAUGGGAGCACAUAUAAGAUGGAAAUUCAAGAAGGUCCUAAAGGGCCUUUAUUUUUGGUUAGUUGCUGUUGAUUUUGGCUAAUCAGUGAUGUUGUAGUUUGUGGUUGCAAUUUGUUAUUGAGGAUUGAAGCGAAUGAUUCUUUAUGUGUGUACAGAUUAUUGCUGCCGAUGGGCAGCCUUUUUCCGGGCAAACUCCUGAUAUUGCUUGGGAGAAAUUACAGAAAAAAUGCUUCCCACGCACGAAGAUUUGGCAUGGGAAGAGAUUUUCCUGCAAGAUAGAUGGUGUGGAGGUAGGCAUUGAGCCGUUUUUAUGAGUAGUGUUCUCUAGAGUUGCUUUUAGUUCUAGCUGUGGACUUAUGUGCUUUGCCUUCUUGUGGUUUUAUAUGCAGUUUUUUGGGUUCAAAAAUCGAUUUGUCCAGAGGCUACUUCGGGAGCUGGCAGCAGAGCAAAGCUUGUUACCCUCGAGCUCCUGCAAUGGAGCUUCUGGACCAGAUGUUGAUAACCGCUCCCCUGAGGCAUGUUCAGACCUGAGAGGACCACAGAUCACAGGGAAGAGAAGUAGGAAACGUGAAAGUGGAAAUGCAAAGUCAUCUACUCGGACAGGCAUUAAAAAGACUAGAACUGAAGAUCUGAUAUCUGUUUCUGAAGCUUUGAGUUCAGUAAAAGGGAAUAAGAUACAUAGCAAUAAUGGGAAUCCCAUGCCUCCUUCUUUAAAUGAAGAACAUGUUAUACCAGAAGUGUUGCCACCGUUGGUGCAUUUAGUAUCUGUUCGUCAAGCAGAGAACGAGAUUUCAGCCAAAGAUUGUUUGCCAUUGGAUUCUGCUGGCUUCUUGAAUCAUCUCAGCAAGGAUAAUAUCCCUGAAGAAUCAAAUGGUUCCCGAAAAUGUAAAUCCAUUCCGGCAGCCAUCAACAUGUCUGUGGAUAAAAGAAAACCUGUGAGAACAUCUCACCUUUUUGUUUCUCUAGUUUCUCUUAAAUUCAAAUAUCUUUCAGAACCUGUUAAGAAAUAUUCUUAAGUGCUUAUAUUGAUAUACGUCUUCAAACUUGGCUUCUAUGUGCUUGUUGAGAAUAGUUGCUCUUGUAAGAGUAGAUUUUCUCAUGUCAUGGUUCUUUAUGCAUUUGCUAUUGAACAAGAAACAUUCCUAACUUCUUACAGGUUGAUUGGUCUCAGGAUACUAAGAGGGAAUUCAUUAAUUUCCCAAUGGCACCAGAUGACCAAAAUGUAGAUGCUACAAUUCCAAAAGAUUGCCAACGCCUGACUGAUGUUGAACUUUAUGCUCCUGAUACCUUAGAUUUUACACAAGGUAAUCAGUACUAUCUACUUGUUUCCUAUAUGUUCAACUGUGAUUGCCUUAGCUUGUGCCUUCAAUUGAAUAAUUGAUCAGUGUCUUCCUCUUUGUCCAUGUAAUAGUACCACUUCUCAAAUGCAGAUAAAACAGCAGAUUCUCCUUCAACUAUCCAACUUUUUGCACCUGAUACCUUGGAUUUUACUCAAGGUAAUUACUAUCCACUUGUUUUCUAGUGUGGUCAACCGUGACUGCCCUACCUUGUGCCCUGAACAAUAGAAAAAUUAAAAUUUGUCUUCCUCUGUGUUCAUGUAAUUAUGCCAAUGCUCAAAUGUAGUUAAAAAUGCGGAUUCUUCUCCAACUGUCCAAGAUAGAAGCGCAUUGGAUGUGGUCAUUGCUGAAAGGCUGCUGACUGAAUCACAUCCGGAAGAAGAAAUGGCUACUAAUAAAUCUGACACGAGUUCACAGAAUAUUGAUUUUGAUUCAGUUGGUCAGGAAAUGGCGAAGUCCAUGAUGACAUUUCUUCUUCCGCAAGCUAUUCCUCUCCUCAGUAAGCGCUCUAGGAAGAAAAAGGGUACUGGUAGCCCUUCAGUAGUUCCUCGCACAGUGAAAUCUCAGAAGGAAAUCAAUGAAACCACUGCUCCCUCCCCUGGUGCUUUUACAAACUUUAUCAAUCUGACAUUAAAUAUUUCAUUUUUGUGGAAUUUGGUAUUAUUUAAAUUUUGCAGUCAGAAAUUUUACCAUCUUCUUUCAGGUUUAAUGCUUUCCAAUGAAGACGCAAAGGAGGAAAAGAUACAUUCCCAAUAUACUGAUCUUGGUCCAAUUGCUCCAACAAAUUCUAUUAUUCCCGACAGUUUAGAUGAUGAGCGAUAUGGUGACCAUGUUGCCAAUCACUUGAUAAUGUUGUCUGAUAAGGGUGAAGCUGAUCAGCACCAUUCUGAUGGAGCAUUCCCUAUGAAUGAUCAUGGACAUCUUGUUUCCGGCAAUGAGCAUGGACAUCUUCUUGAUGCCAAUAAGCAUGACAAAUUGGUAGAUGAUCAGCUUGAGACCAAUGGAAGCAAGGAUGCAUAUCUGUGUGAGGAAGUGGGCAGGGCUUCAACUAGGAGGCUUCAGGAAUGUAGUGGGUACAUAUUGGAGUCUCUUCCAGUUUGUGUAUCUCCACAUAAAAAAUUCUUUUCUGAAAAUUUCACGGAGAAGUCUUAUAUCGAUGAAUGCCAAGUAGGUACUAUCAAUUCUAAUAGAACGAAAACUGCAGCUGAUUCUACCAAAGGUAAUUUUCUGAUACAAAUUAUUCCAUUUUACUUAUUGCUUGGUUCUCAGAUGCCAGCAUACAAUGACAUAAUUACUUUGUCUUAUGAUAGUUUAGUUACUGUUAUGACAUGUCAGUAUUGCUUUCAUUAUUAUCAAUCCCCUCCUCCUAACCCCCCCACACCUCUCUUUUCUAUUCUUUUUUCUCUUUAAAAGGAUAUAAGAGUACCACGGAGCUGAACUGCAUAGUAUUUAUUUUUUUAUAUUUUUUUUUCAGAUUAUAAUAUGUUAUGAUUUAUGAAUCUUAUAAUAUUCUAACUAAACCAUUUAUUCUGUUUAUUCAUCUAUAGAUAUGGUUGAUGACAACCAAAGAGGCAUUCUAAAUUCUUCAAAGAUAUCAGAGAAGGAAAUCACUGCUAAGGCAGAGUUUACCGAAACUGGAAACGUGUCUUUUUCUCAAGUUCCCAACUCAGUGUAUACCAGGAGAAAGGUUCGGACUACAUCUCAUAGGAAAGGCAGUAACAGUGGUUCAGUCUCAGAAACUAUAAUAUGCAAAAACAAUGUACCUGAGACGUAUCCUUCCACAGAGACUCUGCAGGUGGGUUCUGAUGACAGUUCAAAUAAAAGAGAUUCAAUUUGUGCUGAAGCCAGGAUUGUUGGACACUCCAGUUUGAAUGCAAAGGAACCUUCCAUGAAUUCUAAAUCUGUAAUAAACGGCAUCUGUCCAGCUGUAUUACAAGGUCAAGCAUUAUUAGUUGGUGAGAAAGAUACUUCAUACUCUUCUGAUUUGUCUGUCUCACAUUUAGAAAACCAGGUUGACAAGAAGGUGGUUGGGAAUGAAAACCUCCUCCAGUUCAUAGACUCUGAAACAUCUCAUAAACAGGGGCCUAGUUUCAGUUAUGAUCCUAAUAGCAUUCCAUUUAGUUCAAAUACGAAGCCUCACAAAAAGGAACAUAAUAAUGGGCUAGCGGGAAUUCUUGAGUUUGUGGGAUGCUAUACUCAACCCGUUCCUGUUCUGUCAGUAUUGUUGAGCACAAAAGGAAGAUACAUUUAUGUUUCUGUUUUAUGUGGCUUACUGGUUGGUAAGGACGUCAGCCUGUUCAUUUACAAGGUAGCCAUAGAGGAACCGAUGGUUGGACACUCUUCUCUCGUUGGUCACACAUCAUUAACAUUGCCAGACCUAACCGAUUAUUCUAAUGGAGUAAGUUCUUAUAUCUAAUUGGUUGGUAGGCUUGUCUGCUUUAUGUUGACAUUGGCUGAUUGUAGCUGUAAUUCUUUUGCUAGAUGGCUUUGGAAAGAUUCUGUCUACAGUUCAUCCCAGAUGGACAGUGUCUUGUUUUACUUGACAAGAUUAGAACUCCAUUCUGCAGGUUAACUCUCUUUGCAUUAUUUUAAAGUAAGGAUGUGAAUUGGGAGUAAAGCUAUUUGUAAGAGUUUCAUUUAAAUGCUCUCAGGCAAGGGAAAACCCAUUGUCUGUGCACCACAUGUGCAUCAAGCUGCUCUGAGGAGGAUGCAGUUAAGAUUGUCCAAGUAAAACUUGGUUAUGUUUCAUUAGUGACAAGAUUGAAAGCAGCACAGAGUCAAAGGUGUAUAUUGGUUUGUGAACCUAACAAUCUUGUCUCUGUUGGAAAGAGUGGGAGACUGCAUUUGUGGGUCAUGGAUUCAACAUGGAGGUGUGUCUUUGAACUCUUAUUUCCAUUUUUGAUACUAUUGUACGUGCCAGCUGUAGUUAAAAUGUGAUAUUGGUAUAGGAAUACUGUUUCCCAACCCAGGUUGCUGCUGCAGAUUCUGUAGCAAUAUGCUAAUAAUAUAGUAGACCAUUGAUUAAGUAUGCACUCUGUGUUGCUUUAGCUUUUGUUUUAUCAUUUUCGUACCAAUCAUAAAUUCAUAAUAAAAUCUGAUGGUACCUGAUAUGUUUAAUUAUUCUUUGUGCAUAUUUGUUUACAUUUGUUUGCUACUUUGAGCUGUUUACUUGUCUAUCUAUUCCUUUUGUUCAAGGCAGCUUAAGACUCAAAAUUCCUUGUUUGCAGUGCACAAAUGGAAUAUAUUGUUAUGCCGUCUGAAGAUUGCAUCUCCCCUGGCGUAGUGGACUUGAAGAGAAUUCCAAAUUGUACUCAUCUAAUUGUUGGCCAUAAUGGUUACGGUGAAUUCAGUUUAUGGUAUGUCUCUCUUAGACUAGACACAAGUGAUCCUCUUUCAUUGAGUAAAAUAUCACUAUUAUGCUAGAUUCUAUAGGCUAAAUUGUUGGUCCUAGCUGUAUUACUGGUGCUGUAUUGUUUUUUCAAGUUGAACAUUAGUUGAUCUGGAAUUCUGGAUCAAUAAAUAUGAACAUUCAUUCAUAUUCAUUCAUAUACUCAUAUAGCUCAGACCAAAAUUUUAUCACAGUUUUUCUGUCGUGUAAUUCAUCUCAGUUGAAGGUUGGUGAGUAUAUUAGGUUAGAAAAUUUCUGUUCACCUUAUUAAUAGCGAAACAGAUUGUCAAAACUUAUCAGAAAAUGAAAAUAUUGGAUAAUAAAUCUGUUUCACUUUUCCUAGUACUAACAAUAGAAUGUUUUUUUUUCCUUUAAACUUCAGGGAUAUUACUAAAUGCAUCUUUGUGUCAAGGUUCUCUGCACCAAGUGGUUCAAUUUGUCAAUUUGUCCCUAUCAGUUUGUUUGCUUGGCAAAUGAAUUUCCAUGCUUCUAGCCACUUUGAAAUGGAAGAACAUGUCAAUCAAAUGAUGGCUUCAAUAUCGAAGACACUAUCUUCGUAUGAAGGGGAAGAUGUUGCUAUAUGUCUUCUUGUUUUGUCCUCCGAUUCUGAUGCUCAACAUGAUUAUGAAUUAGGCAAUUGCCACCCAAAUCCAGUUGGACGAUGGAGGCUUGCUCUAAUGGUUAAAAAUAUAGUGAUCCUUGGAACUGCAUUGGAUUCAAGGUGCAUCAAUAUCUUACUUCAACUUUUCAGGGGUGUAGUUGAAAUCUACAUUGUGUUGUAGUAAACCCUUUUCUUGGGUAGCAUAGCUGGAAAUUAAGCUGUUUAGUGCAAGCAAAAAUGUUUGCCUGGAUUUUCAGGAAUGAAGUUGCUCCAUUUUUCAGUGGUAUUUAGUUUAAUGACUGAAUGAUUAUUGGUCCAAGUAAAGUGGAAGUAGAGAUUUCUACCUUUAGGAAAAUCUGCAGAAUCAUACAUCCGGGUAAAGAUAAACAUCAAAAGUCCCAUUCAUGUGUUUCUCGGAUGAUUUAGAAUGUAUACUGAUAAUUUGAUAAUAACUUGUUAGUUUUCUAUUUAGCUGAGAGUGCACAACCUAAAUCAUGUAUUCAACUGCUUCUUAACUUUUGAACUUGCUGUACAGGGCUUCUGUCAUUGGUGCUUCAGCUGGUCAAGGGAUCUGUGGUACAUGUGAUGGACUUGUGUAUACGUGGGAGUUAUCUUCAGGAACUAAGCUUGGCACCAUGCAUCAUUUUAAAGGUAAUGUACUAACUGUUAACCAUAUAGAUAAGUAGAUGCUUGAAACAGCUCUUCUUCAAAUCAUACAGCAUAUUUUGCUCCCCAAGAGAUUUACUUCUGUUCAAUUCAGGCUUUCUAUAUAAUCUUCUCUUACUGCAUCAGGUGGCAGUGUUUCAUGUAUUUCUAAUGACGAUUCAAGGUCAGGUGCCGUGGCCAUAGCCGGGGACAAUCAAGUGCUGGUUUAUCGCUCCAGAAAACAUUCUGUAAACUGACAUGCAACAAGCUAUUUUAUCUCUUGCCUGUGAAUAUUAGAUAUAUAUAUGUACAUAUAGAUGAUUUCUAGCGCUUGGUACACUGAAACUCGUGGUUUGGAUAGAAGAAAAAGAAAGUUUUUGCCUCCAACAUGAAAUCACUAACAUAUGAUACAAAAGUUGUUCAAAUAUAAGAACAACCAUUCCUCAAGUUGAUGAUUUCUUUCUAUGAUUUGGUUUCUCUGCUACAUUGAACUUAUCAGUACCACCUUCUAUUGUAUCAUUUGUGAAGUAAAUGGAAGGAGUGCACAAACCAUGCCAAAUUCGGAUGCAACAGAUCGUUUAUAGCUCUCUGAUUUUUGUUCUUUAAGAGAAGUGGGUGCGCAUUGUCAACUUUAGUAACCAAUUUCUAGUGUGAUCAUUGUUUUAAGUUCUAGAAGAAAAUAUACCUGUUGAGGGUGCAACGUACAGUUUCUAUUACAGAUUUUGAAUACAUUACAUCGUCUACUGAAAUAGUAUAAGAAAACAAGUUUCUCAUGUAUGGAUCAUGUGCUCUUCAAUGAUGAUCGAUGAUAUUCAGUUCGCACAACUAAGAAAAUAUAACAAAGAAAGAUUACAUAAUUCCAAUUGUAAGACCUAAAACGAAACCACUAGAGGCUGCUAGCAAAGACCAUUGUUUGGUGGCACAAUCCAUAUCGCAGGUGGGAUGGGAUUUUGAGGCCGGUAGAGUUGUGUAACUGUUUUGUUUGCUAAACUGAAGAUCCCAAUACCACCAUUCCAAAUGUCAUUUGUGAAGUAAAUGGAAUUUGGUUGGCACCUAGGAAAGUUUGAAGCCAAAACAGUCAUGGAAUGAUUAUCACCCAAGAACAAAGCAUCAUCCCCAAUGCUAUCCACCACAUUCUGCUUCACGAUGCUCCCAUCUUUGUCACUGAACAACACCUUGUACACCACAAAAUUGACAACCCCCAGCUUUUGAUCAACACCUUCCUUUGGUUUCAAGAACUUUCGAACAUGCAGCAAGUCUCCAUUGCUUGAUUCAACAAGAUAUGCCUUAUCCGCUUUGUAUGGGAAAACCGGGUGUACCAUUGGUCUUAAAGGUGUACGUAUAAUUGCCUUUGGGUGGCUUGAAGGAUCAUCACUACUGUUGAUAUCAACUGAAGCUAUUAUUCCCCCUAGUCCAACUGCAUAGAUUUCAUUUCUGUGAAAAAUAGCAUCAGAAAACAUAUAUGGUUCCUCGAGGUAAGUCCAAUCUCUUUGUCCUGCUCUAAUGAAAGCCAACCUGCAACAAUUGUCGUAGAUUGCCACAACCACGUAGUUAUUCGGAUUUGAAGACGGAUCAGCUGAUAGUAUAACCUUACGGACAUAAUAGUGGUACUGCUUCUUCAACUCAUCCCGAUGCUUCUGCAACUCACUUUGGCAGCCUGGGAGAUCAUAAGGGGUUACCAAGGGAGGCAAAUGAAUGGCCUCUGCCUUUCUGAAAGGAUUCAAAAGAGUUAUAGCGAAAGUUUCAUCCGCUGUGGCCAACCAACCAUGACUGGAGCCACUGCACCUCUUAUCAUAAGGCACCGGUAGUUGAACAUUUGUAUAGAUUUUUCCUUCAGAAAGGCUACAAACCAUUCGCUUUGUUCGGCUACCGAAGGGGAUCAUGAGCAUGGGAAGUACCUUACACCAGCGUUGAGUUGUACGAUUAUGCGCUUUCGAAACAUCGUUCCAAUGCUUGCAAACGACAGCCAAACGAACAUGGUCGAUGAGUUCGAACAACUUAUCCAACGUUAGAAAGAAAAUGUCCAUAGGAAGACUCGCCCAUUCAGAUACUGAUGUGUAACUAGUGUUCAAGGCAAAAUCCUUAUCUGAACGCCGGGGCUUCUUAGUUGACCUACAAUCUAUUCAUUCUUAGUAAGACGUACAGAAAUACAUGUCACAUACGCCAAAAGAAAUCAAGGGACAAGAGAAAAUUAAGAAACCCCAACCCCAACCCUGAACCCUAAACGACUGGACAAUAUAUAGAUGGUGAGAGUGCUUAAAAUUAACAGAUUUUUCAAACUGGGGCAGAAAAUUACACAAAUAAAAAACCCUAAUUUUUCAGACCCAAAUGCAUGUAUCACUUGUCUUAAUAGCAUUUGUAAGAGGGAACUUCUAUCUGUGUUUGAUUCAGAGAAACCUUUUAACUACAUAUUCUCGUUUGAUUGUUACAUUAUGAUUUAUAAACAAAAACCCACUAUCAGAAUAAAAUUCAAGAAUUGUCAUACCUAUCCGGAGGGAUUUCACACUCCAAACUUCUCUUGUUCUUGUUAUUACCAGGCUGGACCUCAAUCAUGGAGCUUCGGUCUUUGACGUCGGUACAGGGAUUGCGAUACCCUACUACUCGGCAAACAUGGAAUUCAUAUAUUAGUAAGUCUAUAACGGAGUCAAAUUAAGAUGAACUAUGAGAAAAAAAAAAAUCUAGGUUUUUGAUCAGGAUGGAGACUUUACCCUGUUUCACUGGAGAUUUGCCAACAACAGCCAUCUUCCGAUUUUUGGUGUUGCGAAGGUUUCUCUAUUGAAACUGCAGCGUAUGUUUCCUCUCUCUUUUCUGGGGAUUUCGGCAGAAUUGCAUAAGAAAUCAACCGAGGUCUGAAAUUAACCACGAGAAGAUCGAAUUCUAGAAGAUAACUUACUUAUCAAUCAGUAACAUACUUUGAAAAGUUCAUCAAAAAAAAAAAAAAAACUUUAGAAAGAUCAAAAUUAAUUCUAGAAGAUAACUUACUUAUCAAUCAGUAACAGACUUUAAAGAGAGGAGCAAAUAAAUUGUAAGAGAAUUCGGUGUGCUUCGUCUUUUUUCUUUUUUCUUUUUCUUCAGAAAAUUAGUAUACACCUAGCUUAUUUAUACUGGGCGAUGAUGAUGAUGAUUAAGUUAAGGGCAUGUGGUUUGGGGCUUUAAACAAGCAAAACCGUAUAAAAUAAAAUAUCUGGCUGGAAAAGGAAAUUUUUUACAAAGAUAUCUUUGACAAGGAAAAUUAAUUAGCAAAUAUUUUUCUGAAAUCAGCUAGAAAAUAUUAUGUAUAUUCAGGGUUAGUAAGUUUUUUUUUUUUUUUUUGAAACUCCCAUUAUACCGGCCAUUGGUUAAUUGAAUUUGUUUCUAUGUAAUAAAAAUAUUAAUGAAGGAUGAAUCAGUAAACAAUAAAAACCGAAAUACAGUUUCUCAUUAGGAAAAAAAAAAAGAAAAGCCUGUCAAAAAUAUAGAUUCAAAAAGCCAAUUAAUACUAAAAAUUGAUAAAAGAUAAAGUGUAGAGACAAAGAGAUAGCAAGAGAGUCCUUAUCUUAUUCAUUGAUAGGAGCCCUUUAUAUAGGGAAUUACACAAUACCAAUAUGGUAAGGAUAUGAAUACAUAGAUCUAGUCUAACUACAUAUCCUAUUGGCAUAAGGCCAAGACACACAUAGAGAAUAUCCUAGAACACUCCCCCUUGUGCCGCGCGCUGAUAUGCCGAUGGUGCUGAUCUGUUGCCUCGUCAAAAACCUCGUCAAGUUACAAAAACCCUGUGGGAGAAAAACUGAACUUUGAUCGUAGGAGAAAAAGAGUACAACGCACCCUUCACAUUUGAUAGUGACAUGUAUGUAUGUGCUAGACUCCCCCUGAAGUUCGUACCUCCCCCUAAUCUUUACAUCAAUCAUAGGGCUCUUCCUGAUUCUUACUAAUCACGGAAGUUUCAAAAACUUAGCAUGUCAAUGCUUUUUAACAUGUCUUCAAAUGUGGCAUUGGGCAAUGAUUAACUAAAUCAUGCCGUAUUGUCCUCAAAUGAUCUUUUACACUUAGAUCUUGAGGAGAAGGUCGCUUGUGAACUCAAAACAUAAGUUCGUGUAGGAAAUCAGGUUUUCGCGCAGCAUGACUUUCAAUUACUAGAACAGUCGUAACUUCCUCUAGGAAAUACAUAUGAAUGAACCGUAAACGGUUUUGGAAACUAGACUCAUUUAGCUUUCCAACCGUAUAUUACACACAUUCUGGUUCAUCAGGAGCUGUUCACAAAAUCCCGUCGAAGUUGACUGUUUUGCCAAAAUCAGAUUCUCGGACAGAUUCGUUCUACUUUACGAAAACGGCCAUAACUCACUCAAUAUGAUAGGUAUGAUCAAAUGGUUGGUGUCUCUAGAAAGUAGACACAUAGACCUUUCCAAUGGUACCAAUUUCACCAUUUUCCAGUGAGUGAGAUUUCCUAUAGGUCCCGUGGAAGUUGACCUACAAAAUUUGGUAGAUUCUGAUUUCGCUUUUGAUGUGUCUUUCUUAUGUAGGGAUAGAAUAAGCCUCAACCUUUCAUACCAUUAAGUAUUGAAAAAGGAGUUACUGCCAUUACAUUGGCGUUGCGUGGGCGCAUAGCUACACUUAGCUUUACAACUUUUCAUAGCGAAUGAGAUGUCAAGUCUUUCGUAUUGUGUUAAGUACAUUGAUGCGUCUUAUUGUACUUAGAUGGGAACUCCAUCUCUUAACACAUAUUUGUCAUCUUGCUUUAGAAAAAACAACGGAUCUCUCUUUAGAGCAAAGACCUUGACUAAUCAUGGGAGUAUAUGUAGGCCUCACUAGUUAUAGAGCGCCUAAGCCGAUUGAUGGAAAAUCAUAAUCAAUACAGUCAUCGAGUGCCUUAUCGAGAGCAUGUCUUCCCAAGAUCUUUUUCUUCGGAUGUUGAUACAUAUUGGCAUCUCUUGAUCCAUCAAGAGUCCAUGUAAAUCCGGAAUGAACACGCAAAGGCAUAAUUCAUCAUAUCUCUUCCAAAUCAAGUAGAGUACAUGUGCGUUUCAAUACAUUUAGCAAACGCGUGCUCCUGUGGUCUGGAGCCACUUGAUUCAGAUGAAUGAAGUCCGUGUAAGAUCUUCAUGUAUAUCUCUGAUCCCAUAGAGAUGUUAUUAUGACCACAUUCAUAGGCUGCAUGUUCAGUUAUUCGGAAACUACCAAACUGACAAAGUAGUGGAGUUCAAUUACAUCCAUUACGAGAGCAUAUCUCAUCGUAGUUGAUCCCAGUGCGUGAUAGUGAGAGACCUUGCGCCAUAAGGUGAGUCUAAACUCUUAUUCUCACUACGCUAUCUAACAAAAGUAUAGUUGAUAGGGUUUAGCUUGCGGUGUCGGCAUCACCUGCCCAAGGACCUAUCUCUUUGUUAAUGCUGGAUCGCAUCUUUCCAUUAGGCCAAUCAACUAAGUUGAUAUUCAUCAACGAUGGGUGGUUCGAUAGUAGACUCAUUAUCCCACGUCCUCAUGUACACUAGUGUAAUACUUGUAGAGAUCUCUAUAUGGAUUGGAUUUGACAUUGAGGCGUUCCCCAACGAUAAUCACAAUUCAGACUUCAUGAGACGGAUUUGAGUAUCACUAAUCAAUGGAUUAGGUUGUGCCAAGCUCGCUUUCUUCCUAGUGCGAGAAAGUAUCGAACCUAAGGGUCUCCCUCCUUUUGGGGAGCCACACGGCCUUGUGACACCAAUUUUGCCACUAUAUGGCGUCACUAUAUCACCAUCCAUGGUGAUGGCGUCAAGACCAACACUUUUUGGUCGCGCCAUGUCCUUUUGUAGGACAUCAAUCAUUGCAGACAUAUUUGCAGCAUGUGAUCUCGUCACUUUAACACUAUAAGCAUUUGGGAUCAAGAUGAGACUUAGUGGGGACAAACCACGACAAUUCACGUUGUUCCACUUGAACACUUGUGUUCUUAUCUCCCCCUAACGGCGAGAAUAUUGUCUCAUCAAAGUGACAAUCCGCAAUUUAGCGGUGAAUGAGAUCGUCUGACAAGGUUCCUACAUAUGCGGAUUAUAGGUGGAGGUUCAUAUCCAACCUAAACUUAUUCAUCUCAAAUGACCCAUCAUUGUACGCAGUGGCAAUGCGAUUUGACACCUAGAAAUAACAUCUAGCCGAGCUCAAGGAUUGGAGAUUCGUUUCAAUCCUACCGAGCUCAACGAUUGCAAUUUCAUGUCAAUCCUGAUACACAGUCACGAGCUGUAGUACAACAAAAUUCAAUGAUGGUGGGUCGUAGAUGAAUAGUAAAGCUGCAUGCAAAUAUUGCAUAGCCCCAAAACGCAAUAGAAAGAGUGGUGCGCAUCAAUAAUGUUUGAGCGACAAGCUAAAGUUGCUUAGUCGUAGCCUCGGUGAGAUCGUAUUGCGUGUGAACAUGGGGUACAUGACACUUCAACUUACAUCCUGAUGAACUUCUUUAAAGAAUGGAUAGUGAGCCCGUAGAAGUAUAAGCAGUAUAAGCAGUAUAAGCAGUAGAUAAUAGUGUAACACGUGACCAGUGUGUUAACACGUCAACCAACACCAUAAAGCAUAAAAAGGUGUCCGCAAGUUGGUUGUAUCUAUCUACAUAGUUUGAUGUAAGAAUAGAAUGUUCACUUUUGUGUUAUUUAGCGUAGGAGGGUCUCACUCCUUAUUUAGCUAAAGAAUAGGCUUUCAAAACGAGCAAUGAGCAUUGCAGGGGGCCAAUGCGACAUCGAGGAAAGGCCGGUGCACCUCAAUUGCUUAAGGAAUUGACCGGACGACCUCCAGGAAGUUGGAGUCGUGUUCGGGUGACGUCAAUGUCCCCCGGGUCACCACCAUGCUUCAUGGUGAUGCUAGAUCUCGAAUGUCUUCGUUUUGAGCGGAAGAAUGGAUGUCCAUGAGAAUUUCUCAAAAUUUGGACCAUUAUAUCUCUUCCAGGUUGACCAAUUUGGUCAAACCAAAGCUUAUAUGAGUCAGUGUCCCAAAUAUCAUGUUUGGCGACAACAUGGGAUUCGAUAUUCGAAUCGUAGUGACAUACAGUUCACUACAUUGACUCAUGAAUUUCUCCAAGAUGCGCUUCAGUUCGCAUUCAUGAGGAGGUAUACACAAAAGAAUUCUUGUUCAUUCUCACAAUGUGUUUUCAAAUGAAAACCAUUAGCAUGAAUGUUUUUAAAGCUCAACAUGGUUCCUUAGAAUGUUGUGGAUAGUUCCACUAUCUGCGAAGCACUCAAUGUCUCUAUGAGAGACAACUACAAGGAGUAUAUAGGCGAGUAAAUAGUUCUACUUGAACCAUUUAGAAGGAUUGAAAUAAGCUACGAAAAGCUGCAAUCCCGAGAGUGCAUAAAAAUUUCCUCGCAGAAUGACCUUUGCGCACUAAAACAGCCAUAACUUCUUCGUUAAAAUAGAUAUGGACGAACCGUGAAAAGUUCUGAAAACUAGACUCAUAGAGCUUUCCAAUGAUAUAAAGCUCACUGUCUGGUUCGUCCGGAGCUAUUCACAAAGCUCAAACGAAGUUGACUGUCCAGAAGGGACAGAUUGCUGUUUUUCGCAGAUUUGGCAUGUGCGAAGCUGUGAAGCUUGCAGGUGGCGUGUAGACUUUUGCCUUAGCCAAAAGUGACGUGUGUAUGAUCAAAACCAAGUCCUUUCGAUCGUUCUAAGGUCGUAAACUCCACGACUAGUUAGCAAAAGCUCCCUGACAUGAACAUAAACUAACUCAGAGGACCUAGAGGAUCCGAUUGUGAUGAUAAUUUUCCAGCUUUGAUAAGUCUUCAACGUCUUUUGCAAGACGGCAAUUGGUUUAAUAGCGUAGGGGGAUCCAAAAUCAAAAGCUUUCGGUAACUCCAAGUCAGUAUAACCAGGCAUGUCCGUGGAGGGUCGGUAGUGCGAGGCACACUUAAAACCACUCUCUCCUUAAUUUCGGACAAUUCUAAGACAUCACACUGAGCUUGGAUGAGCCUAGUUGAACAAUUGAUGAUGAAAAAUCCGCUAUAGGGUAGAAGAUUUGACCGGAAACACGUGGGCGAUCCUCCUUGAGGAUGCAGUGCCAUGAGUCACCUUCAAAGGAAGGGACCAAAAUGGGCACAAUAUGUCAUGUUUCUAAGGACGAUGUAAGUGUACAUCUUGAUUGUAAAUCAAUAUGAACCAUAAGAGGAGAAUAGUUUCACUUCGAAAAAUUCUCAAGGCAUUCAUUAUUGCUAAUGUGAGUACAUCGAGGUCUCAAAUAGACAAAGGACGUCGAUACAACGCCUUAGUACAUAUAACUUGGAACGAAAAUCAAUGUCUAGCCGAUGACAUCAAAGUCAUGGGUAGCUAGAGCAGGAUCCGAAUCUUUGAAAUUCGCGAUCAUGAGGAUGACGUUCUUGUCCUCAUAUUGAUUUUCCAUACCUUUUUGUAUGCAUUCACAAUUUAAAGAAGCUUGACAAUCUUGAACCAAUGAUCCGAAGAUCCACAACGGUUGCAUUAAUGUCAUGAGCUGACUGAAUAGUUUUGACAAAAUGGUGUCUAGACCGGGAGUGUCGCUUUUAGAGCCGGCAACACCUCCCCCUCUUUUCUAGACAUCGGCACGACGUUUUCUGCCGUUGCCAUGACCCAUAUUGUUGUCCCCACAUUAGGGGAUAAUCCCAAAUAAAUUUAUCACAUUAGCGUAUAUACAAUUCCUGUUUGUAUGAUCAAAAUCAAGUCUCGUUGGUAAUUCCACACCAACUUAGAAGACCUAGAGAACUUGAUGAUGAUCGAAUCCGCUAAAGAUUAUGGAUCAUGAUGCCACAAAAGAUCAUCGACAAUAUGUAGUCAAUUAAAGUGGUAAGCAAUCCACUUGACUAAUAACUCAACAAGUAGAGUUAUAUGGACGUUUCAAGAAACGCUCCAUGAGUGCAUUCCACAGUACUUUGUGGUCAUUACUUUUUGCACAGAUUGCCAUUGAAUGCUUGUCGAUGUGGCGUCUCAAAAACUUUGAGCGCAGGAGAUGUGAAAUCUCGGCAUCUAGGCUUGUUAGCCUGGGGGUCAAAACAUGUAGUUUAAUCCUUUCCAAUGAAAGGUUCCACAGAUACCAAGCGAAGAUCCGCCUUAGGCAUCUAGUACGUCAAAACUCAAAGGAGCAGAAUGUUACAUUGCUCUUGCAUACAAAACCAAGCUGUUAUGAGACUCGAUAGAGGUUCGGAUUGAUCAUACACAAUCCGGAAAAGCCGCGAAUUGAUCAAACACAAUUCGGAAAAAGGACUCGGAUUGAUCAAACACAAUCCGGUGAAAGGUCGGGGUUGAUCAAACACAACCCGGACAAAGAAACAAGAGUGAUCAAACACACUCUUGACCCGCGAAUAAAAUUUCGGGAUUUGGGUACCUGCACGCACAAAAUCCCAAGCAUAGAAUGGAGAUGGAGAAGGGAGAAAAGGAUUUUAUCCUCCCCGAGUUAUUGAACUUGGAAAAGUUUAAGGUUUCAAUAAACAUACAUUUCUAGAGGCUGCCGAGAGGAGAAAUAACGUUUUGCCUACUUAUACUUCGAAUUUGGGGCUGAAAAUUUGACAGGAGGAGAAGCUCUGGAUGGGGAAGCUGCUGUCAAAAUUUCAGGUUGAUCGGAGGAAGGGAAGGUGGUGAACCGGUGGUCGGUAGCGGCGGUGGUCUGGAAUCUUCCAGCGGCCGGUUCGGAGACUUUCCGGCCGGUUCUCAGGGUGAGACCGACGGCGUUGGAUCCGGGGCGGAGAGAGCUUUCUGGGGAUAUAAAAUUCCGGCAGAGGGCAGUCGGAAUUUGGGUCGGAAAUCGGUGAAAACAAGGCUGUCCGAUUUUAGGGUUUGGAAAACAAAUGGUGACUAUUGGCUCUAGGGUUAGAACAAAGUGCAUGAUAACGUGAUAAAGGAUAAAGUGUAGAGACAAAGAGAUAGCAAGAGAGUCCUUAUCUUAUUCAUUGAUAGGAGCCCUUUAUAUAGGGAAUUACACAAUACCAAUAUGGUAAGGAUAUGAAUACAUAGAUCUAGUCUAACUACAUAUCCUAUUGGCAUAAGGCCAAGGCACACAUAGAGAAUAUCCUAAAACAAAAAUCUUAUUCACAUGCCAAUUCCAAUGAAUCUUAACAAAAGGACAAAUUUGCCCCAACCUAAUCAAUAAGCUAGGUUCUCUCUAUCACCACCAUUCAUUCCCCGUCUCUUGAAGCAGAGGAGUCGACGCCUCUCAAGGAUCUCCCAGGUGCACCUCUCACCGGAACCGCCGCCGACGAGAUUAGGAUGCACCUCACUAUCCAGGACAGAGCUCCCCCGCCGCCGCGCGCUUGAAUUUUGUCCAGAACAAAAGCGGUGACAACGUGGAUGAAGCGUUUGACAGAUUUCGCAACGACGACGCCGCCAACGGCGUCCAACAACAUCACUAUCGGUUUGAUCAAGUGGCCUCCGAGCUUUCCGGCAAGGCGGCGAUGACUGGGCAUCGGAAGAACAACGUGGCCAAGAAAGAAUGGAACUGGAUCCUUGACCCGAUCGAGUUCCUUCUAAGCCAAUUCAAUCUCCGAUCACGCAGAUUCAGCCUCAGCCCGCCAAUUCAAUCUCUGAUCACACCGACUUCAGCCAUAGCUUGCCAAUUCAGCCUCAACUCUUGGCCGAGGUUAGGGUUUAAUUUUCCAGCUUCCUUCCUCUGUAUAUCAUUGACUAUCUAUAAAUGAGUUUGCAUGUAAUUGGGGAUUUCUAUGAGUUUGCAGUACAAAGAAGACUAUAAAUGUGCGGCUGGUGUACAAAAUCAAAGCCUGCGCUUGGUUGAAGAUGAAAGAAGUGACGUCGUGUUUGUCCAUUAGGUGGUGUUGAAGAGAAUAGCUAGGUUGCAGUGUUGUCCAUUUAAUAACAUUUACUGGAGGUUAAUAAACAUCUAUUGAAGGUAGUAAAUUUUUUUAACUAAUUAUUAGGGGUCAGUAACCCGAUUAUUGGGGGUCAGUAACUGAUUAUUGGGGGUCAGUAACCAAGCUAUUGGGGGUAGUAACCCGAUUAUUGAGGGUCAAUAACCAAGUUAUUCGGGUUAGUAACCCGAUUAUUGGGGAUCAGUAACUGAUUAUUGAGGGUCAGUAACCAAGUUAUUGGGGGUUGGUAACCGAGUCACCAGUGACCGAAAUCCGGCAACCGGAGUCCGGCGGUGGGUGACCGGAGUCUAGUGAGAUUCCGGCUAAGUAUUCUCUCUGUUCCAUUUUCUCUCUCUAUGCAUGUUUAAGGGGUGAGGGUAAAAUAGUCUUAAAAUAAUAUGGUUUGUUAAGACUUCAAUAAAGAUUUGUAUAUUUGGGCAUAGAAAAAGUUACUUUAUAUUGGCAUGAGCUCAUGUAAAAAUUGUCAUUGGAAUAGAGAAUGAGGCCUAAAUUAGUACUAAAUGAGCAUUUCUCAAAAAAGUUAUCGGGGAUUCAUCUCUUUUUCUAUUAUUGAAUCUGAUACCAAAAGCUACCCCUGUAUCCUCCAAAGUAUUAAAAACCUUCAGAUUUUGGCUCUAGAUGUAUUGCAUCUUCUGCAUGCAUAUAUACCAAGAUUAAUAAGAAAAUUUACGGCUGUUUCCUUAUUGAUUUAAAACCGACAAACUGUAGAUGGCUAGCUGUAACUGCAUUACAAACAACUUUUGUGAAAAGAGACCAGUGCAGAUUAAAUUUGUGAAAAAAGAAAAAAGAAAAAAGAAAAAGUGAAGCUGCAACAAAACCCGCAGCAAAGCGCGGGGGCAAUAGCUAGUCUAAUUCUAGUUUACCACACAGCUACAGUGAACUUCUCUCCAUUCGAAAAAAAGGGAUCAGAGCUAUAAACGAUCUGGUGUAUCACAUUACUUCAC
RNAcentral lists this long non-coding RNA (86034 nucleotides) under Fragaria vesca (wild strawberry). RNAcentral's name for it is "long non-coding RNA (FVES_LNC002017)". The stretch from base 67415 to 67486 matches the Rfam family "tRNA". Lineage: Eukaryota; Viridiplantae; Streptophyta; Magnoliopsida; Rosales; Rosaceae. The record is from RNAcentral.